Molecule: long non-coding RNA, 87002 nt
Filed under: Citrus sinensis (sweet orange)
Lineage: Eukaryota; Viridiplantae; Streptophyta; Magnoliopsida; Sapindales; Rutaceae
Description: long non-coding RNA (CSIN_LNC002726)
Source: RNAcentral
AAUUCGGGGCGUUUGACAUGAUUUUUUUUUUUUUGUCUCGUUUGAGCGCACAUUUUUUAUUUGGUUUCACAUUACAUCGUUGAAAUUUGAAAACAAAUAAUUUAUGGUCAAACCGUAAAAAUAUUUUUCAUCAAUUACCCGGAAGUACCUUUGUAUGUGGACAAAAAAGGCAGAGGAGGAAAAGAAACAAGGAAGCCGAAGGAAACCAAAAUAAUAAUUCCCCUCAUUAAAAAUAUUGAGCUUAUAUGCUUUCUUUUCUUUUCUCUCUCGAUGAGUAUUUUCGACUCAGUUCCCGGGCAAGAAUCAGACCACUUUGAAAAGGCCACUUUAUAACCAAACUAAUGUACGUCGGGUUUGUGUGGUUUGGUUCACGAGAGAUUGACAGUGAUAGUUGUUUUUCAAUUAAAUGUAUUAUUUGUUGAAUUUGGAUAGCGUACUGUUCUUUGACAUUUAUUAUUGUAUUAUUAUUUAAUAAAUAGAACGAGUUUCUUUCCAACUCCCAACUCCUAAGGCCAAAGCAUGAAAAAAAAACCACUAUUGGCUGAGCCAAUGGCGGUAAUGGUACCUAAACUAGAUGGCUGAUCAAUAUGCUUUCUACUAUUAAUAAUGAAAUAGUUGAUUUACGAGGUAAGUUACAUGAAGAAAUGUGCAAAAUUGAAGGCUUGGAGGUGGAACAAUCAUACGAUGCAUCUAAUACGCUGGCUGCAGAAACAUGAUUUAUUUUGCGUGUUCUUUACCAUGCCGGAUCACGUCAAGAAAGGAUGUGUCAUUCAAAUGCUUCGUUGUGGGAUGUAAUUCGAUAUCAGUUACAAUGUUAAUCUUUGUGCUUGUGCUGAUAUGUUGCGAUUUUGAACUUAUCUAUACAGUAAGUCACUUAUCAACUAGUAGUCUAGUAAUACUUGAACUUUUAUAUGUGUUAUGUAUGAUUUUUAUUAUCUGUUGCUGGAACUUCUGUUGUAGUGGAAAUCAUGUUGAACUUAUCUAUGCAUUUUAUAUGUGCCCCUUGUAUUAAGUUUUGUCGCUUUUGUAUUUUAAUUCAUACAGAAUUUAUUGAAAUCCAAAAAAAAUUGUAAUAUUGUCAAACAUGGCCUUCAUUAUUUAUAAUUAUUACUACUAAUGUAAUUGUUGUUGUUGUUGUUGUUAGUACUAUUAUUAUAGGCAAUAAUUAACGAAGGAUUUUUUAAUAACUUACAACAGUCCAUUUUCAUUUCAAAAUAAAAUAAACACAUGAAUGAACAUAAAAUCUGUUUUGAUUCAUAUUUCUAUAAUUCAAAUAAACAACUUAUUUUUAUUUUCAUUUAUCAUUCUCACUCUAACCGUUUGGUGAAGUGUGAACAUCAUUUAUUGGCUUUGGGUAAACAUACCAUCAUUAAUUGCCUGUUCCAAGUCAAAGGCCUGGAGGCUCAUGCUUCCUAGAGUGAGCACCGCCUGAGGCUGGCUUCACGGACCGGCGACCACCACCUGCUCCUGGCUCGACAACUGUCUCAAUUAGUUGAUCCCACCUGGACCAUCACCUUUUAAUUUUUUGUUUUCGCCACCAGAGGUUGGAUUCUGGACUUUGAUCAACUUGAAAAGCGAAUGAUGAUCAAUAAUAAUACAUCCCUCUAAACGGCAAGCGUGUUUAGCUUUACAAAUGAAGGUAUCAUAGUUGAAAAAUAUUCCGUACACAAUAAUUUUUCGUCAAGAAAGUGACUCCAAUGAAGGUCUUGAACCAUCUCAACCGUACUCCACCUACUUGACCCAAAAAUUGCAUCCUUGACUUAACAAGAAGUCAUGCAGUAACAUAUGCUUAAAACAGAAAAGACAUGUUUUCAAUUGUAGGAUACAAUGAAUUCAUCAUCGCCAAGAAGUUGUGUGUUUUCCACUAUCUCACUCUCUUGAAGGCCAACAAACAUGAACUGAAUCUGCAACAAAAUCUAAAACUACAAUCCACCCAAGACAUAGCUAAUUGAUUUCAAUUCCAAAGAAAGGCCCGAGUGGCAACAUGAGAUAAUUUCAAUUCCGAAGGAAUGCCACAGUGGCAACACGAGAUCCCUCCGAUCCACCAAACAUGAAGGUUGGGUAUGUGCGAACAUGAUUAAGGUAACGGAAUGGAGGCUCCCUGCAUGCUUCUUCAUCUUUGAUCUCAUGUUCCUGGGACACACCAAUCCUUCUUUGACUUAAAUUUGACACUUCAUGCACCAACUCAUCUUUUGUACUGUUACACGAUGUGAUCACCUACCAACAUGAUCAAAACAAGGAAAACAAGAGGUGAGUUAGCAAAUCCCCAGAAUGCAAGUAUGACAUUGUGUGUUAUGCUUGGGAUUUAUCCAAGCAACUUCGUGUAAAAUAGAAGGGUAAUGAUAAUUACAAAACAUAAAAAAGGUAGACCAAAGAGGCUCACCAAUAAUCCACCAGGAGCCACCAACUUUGAAACAGAAUCCCAAUACAUGAUCCUGAAAAUGACAAACACAAGUUCACUUUUCACUAUUUAGCAGUGUAAUAGAAGUGCUGUAUAGUUAUCUAUGAGAUUCAAACAACACCAGGGUUGCUAACUCACAACCAGUUAUGUGAUUACCCAAAAAGAGAAAGAUGAUAAUAUACCUGUAACCAAGAAAACUAUUGUUUACCUUUUGAGAGGACCAUCAGGAUGCAGUCCAAUGGCAUCUAAAGUCCCUUUAUCCAUGACAAGCUGAAAUUGUCUUUCGAGCUUUGUGUCAAGAACAUCAUCAACCUAAAACCAGCAGUGACAGAAAUUCAAAUGAAACGACCAUCAUACAUAUGUUCACUGAGCAAUUGCUAAAAGAUUAGGAUACAAAAGGAUAACGAUUUUGUUAUAAGUACUGAAAACGUACAGUCUGAGAACUCGUUCACACUGUUUGUGAACACAACUAAAUUCAGCAAAACCAUCAGAUAUUAUAUUCUUGCCUUAUAACUCAAAAAGAUCAGCAUCCCACAGUUCUCCUCAACUUAUCAGGAACAACUUGAAAGUUUUAUUCUUGGCUCUAACCAAAGAUCAAGUUUGUUACACCUUUAGAGAAGAAAAUGGCAACAUUUAUCUAAAAAGAAAAGUUUUGGAUAGCCAACUCACAUGCAAGAUGGUCAUCAUGUAAAUGCAAGAAAUGAACUUUAUAUUAAAAAAAAAUAAAGUUAAACCAGGAGGUUUCAAGAAAUAAGGCGAAAUUCCCAUAGAUAAGCAAAUAUCUAAUUCAAGGAUACAAAUCUGACUGUAACAUCUAGGGGGAAAAAGGACAAAAGAAUGAUUCAUUUUAAAAGAAAGCAUUCAUUUGAUAUAUAGUAACCAAUUUGAUAUAAAUCAAAUGUAUAGUGCUCGUUUCUUUCUGACUUACAGAUGAAAUAAGUCAAUAUUUGCACCGAAAUAUUCAUUACCAAAAAUUUAAUACAGGAAAAUCCAUCACGAUUAGCAAGGCUUUGAGCAAGGUUUAUUGCAUCUUCACUAUAAUCAACUCCAGUUAAAUCAGAGAACCUGAAAACAAAUACACAUCAAUCUACUUGUUAUUAUAAUAUAAUUUCCAGCAAUAUGUAACAGUACAUCAAAAUUUCAGACAUUUCCAAUGGACAUUUCUUCCCAAACCAAGCCAUUGAUGCAACAUUCAGAACUGUACUUUAAUUUGCGAACAUCCAUUUUGUAGCAUGUUCUUGUAAAACAUUAAUCACAAAAGUACUCCAAUGACAAGUACUUUAAUAGUAAAUAAGUUGGAACGAUAUUACUGUUAAACCAUUUAGUCUGAGACAAUAUCCCACUCCUACUAAAUAUGUGGAUUGCAGGUCUUUUUCCACUCAAACAAACCACACACACCUCUCCACAUAUCAAAACAUUCAACACACCACAUGAAAUAUAGGAAUUGUAAGCUUUCAAAAUGCCACGUAUGAGUUCUUCUUUUGCUUUGUCAAUAUCCCGCCUUAACCUAGAUCACUUUCUGAGCCCCUGUUAUCUGAUUAACUCUACUCCUACUUUAAUCUUACAAACUACAGAGCAUGUAUAUAUCAUGUUUCCAUACAAAGAAACAAUGGAGACGAAUUUGCAAGUGAAAUACUACAUUGAACUAUAAAUUUCUUAGAUCAAUAUACUACAAAAUACCAGAACUAUAGGCAAAAUCUCAGUGUGUACCCCUGCUUGGAAAGUUCUUGAAGAAGCAGACCAUUGCCAGUACCAAUAUCAAGUACACUCCAAGAAGACAAAUACUUAUCAUUCUCUUCCACAGGCUCAGACUUAAGAUCUUCAACAUGAUUCAGCAUGUGACCUUGUGAUAUGCUAAUGCACAAGCUUUUUGUCCAAGAAGCAACAACAUCCAUGACAUCAGCUCCAAACCUAAUGAAAGGGGGCACGAGCCAAAAAAAAAGGUUUUGUAGAAAAGUAAGAGAGUUAUGAAUUUUACCUCCUCUGCUAUUUCAAAGAGGAUUCAUUAAAUAUUUACAAGUUCAUCUGUUCUUGAGUUCAAACCAAGGUUAUUUUCCUGAAAGUGAAGGCCGAUUAUACUCCAACAGACAUAAGCAAACACAGCUUACAUUCUGCUGUACAGAUUCUAACGUUCUUAUGAUAUUGCAAAUUAGAUAAAAGAAAUCAUCUCAAUAUGAUGUUUAGUAUAUUGAGUGAGCAGUAAUGUUCCACAGGCCGCAGAAAAGAGAAAACGCUCAGAACUGUUGGGUAGAUGCAUUUUAUUCAAAGAUGUAAGAAGCUGCGGGAUAGCCUCCGCGAAUUUUAAUUUCCCAAUUUACUGAAACCCAACAACUAUACUUAAGUAUGAACUACAGUCUUAAACUUGAUAUAUUUCCUUCAUUCAUAAACUUCAUUCUUUUAAGUCUAAACAUUUGGCCAGAAUAACUUUUAAAGCUGCAUUUCAGAGUGCUUCGAUAGAAAGGCCUUUCAAAAGUUUAUUGCUUUAGAUACUAUAACGGAGACAAGUUCGACUGUAAAGACCCCAGUGCUUACCAAACUUCACCAGCAUGGCCAUGUUCACGAAAAUUAGCCAACUCAUCUGCGUAAGCAGAAUCCCAGUAACUCUGAAGACCUAACAUUGAUGCCAUCCCUUCUGGAUCUGGCUCCUCCUUGUCAGAACUAUACACAAUGGACACAACAAUCAGCACAUACAUCAAGUGCCAAGUUACAAGGACUAGAAUAUAAGCAUUGAAAUUUCAGCUCUUUUGCCAAUCACAGACCCCAAACAAAUCAUAUGAUUCUACACAGCUACUUCUCUAGAAGUAAAUCACUUUCAUGUCUCUUAUUCUUUCUUGUAAAUAUAUUAGUUCUACAACUCAUUAUUAAGACAGAGAACAUUUCAAAACGCAAACGUUCAAAUUUUUAAGAAAAAAAUCAAUAAAUCAAUUGCAAAUUAAAAACUAGUGGCGCACAACAGACAGCCUAAUUCAUUGUAAUCUUUUUAUAUCUCGGGGAACCAAACAGUUUUUUUAUUUUUUCCCGAAAGAAUGAGAUUCACACUUGUAAUCAGAAUUAGCGCGGAAGUUUGCGGCGGAGGAGAGGGCCUCAGCGGCAUCGGCGUGGCGCUGAUCAUCGUCGAGAGUGCUUCCAUACUCGCUCUUUAUUGACCACGAGUCCGCAGCGACUGACCGCUCGUCGUCAGACACUAGAUCGCCCGCGACGCGGACCUGCUGCGGCGGCUGUUGCGGCGAAACCUCGGGUUCUUCCGGCGGCAAUCGGAAUCCGGCCAUUACGAUGCGUUUCGCAGAACGGACUUUAUGUGGACUGUUUUAGCAACGAUUGGCAAAUGGCGUCUUCUCAAUUUUGACCGCCUUUUGGUAUUGGAUGACGUGACAGCUAUCGGACCUUCGGAUAAAAUUUUAGGGUGAAUUUCAAUUAGCUCCUUUAUGUUUACUCUAAAUAUUAAUUGGUGAAAAAUGUUUUUUGCCCUUUUAUUUGAGCGGAAUUUAUCCAAAAUGAAAAUGUUAAUUAAAAAAAAAAAGUAGUCAACGAGUGCAUUAAACUGAAUCCGAAAGAAUGUAUUCCGAGACCUGAAUGAAGAAGUGUCGUCUAACGUGGCAUUUAUCGAGUGAAUGUUGAUCUUUCUUAAUUUUUAAUUUAUUAUUACCUUUCGUCUAAUGUAAAAAACAUUAUUUAUCAUCGAAUUUUAAAAAUAAACUUUUAAGACAAUUAAAUGAUAGUUUUAUUGUUUCUAAUUAAGCAGAUUUCCUUAUUGGUCUAGUAUUUUUUUACAAUGCCAUUUGAUAUAAACUAAAAGUAAAAAUUAUCUUGCUAAACAGAAAAAUUAAUACAAAUAAAUAUCGACUGUACAAUAACAUAAGCUCUUUAAACAAACUGAUGUUAUAUGAAAGUAUAACUAAUUUGGAUCAAAGUCAUUACACAUAAUGAGAAUAAAUAAUAUGAAUGACAAUAAUUAAAUAAUAUCAUGUCCAUUAAUUUUUAUAAGGAGUUUGUUUUUCCUCAACAUUCACCUAUCAGUUAUAAAUUUUGGUUUUGAAAAUUUGAAAAUUUGAAUAUUUACCUCAGGCAGCUAGCCCUGCUGUACGGCCAAGGCGGAUGUACGGUACAGCAGAUAUAUAUAUAUAUAUAUAUAUGAAUCUAGCUAAAGCUGACAAAUAAAUAAAAAAUUGUGAUAAUAAAAAAUAUAUAAAUUACAUAAAAAUUUCAUUAAAUUUUAUAAAAAUAUACACUUAAUUUCGAUAUUAAGCCUUUUUUUCCCCAAAAGAAUGGUAAUAAUAUGGGAAGAAAAGAGGCGCUUUCAGAAAAAAAUUUUCCAAGCCGUGCGUGCACGCAAAUAUUAUAAAUUCAAAAUUACAAUUCAAGUGUUCUUGUUUGUUUCUAAAUUCUUAUAUCCCGAUCAAAAGCGACGAAGGAAAAGAAUGGUCUUAUUUCCUUUGUUCCUCAUUCCUGCUUGGCAUAGGAUUUUAAUUAGAAUAUAUUAAUUCUUAGCUAGACUCCUUAGUGAUUGCAAAAAUAAUAAAUGAAUAAAAAAACCUCACGGGAAAAGGACAGGAAAAUCAAAUCCAAAAGAAGACAAGAUUAGAAAUAUGUCCAUUUAAUUAUACAUUCAUCACUUGCGCAUUCAAGAUUACAAGAUUACUUGUUCAUGCAAUUGCAAUGGCAAUCGCGAUUGAGCUUAGAGAAGUUUGUCCGAAUCCAUUCCGAAUAAUAAAAUUGCCUAAUGGUCUUUGGAAGGUCCGUUUCUGGAAUGAUGACAUCGAAGCAACGGUGACUCCAAAAGCUGGAACAGCGGAGUUCUGGAUAAGGGAGAUAUGCUACCAUCAUCGUCGUAGAAUUAACAAACAAGAACUCGUAGUGGGGCUAGACACGGAAUGGUGCUUGCCUUCCUCUGAGAACGGUCAUCAGAAAGUGGCCGUCCUUCAGCUCUGCGUUGGGAGGAGAUGCUUGGUGUUUCAACCGUGUCACAACUAUGGAAUCCCCUCAGCUCUUGUGGAGUUUCUUGGAGAUAAAAGGAUCACGUUUGUGGGAAAAGAAGUUGCGGCUGACGCCACAAAGCUGCUUCAAGAUUAUGGACUGCUUGUGGCAAAUGUAAGGGAUGUUUCCCGUAUGGCUGCCAACAAAUACGAGGACCCUGUGUAUUUAAGAUUUGGGCUAAGUAAACUAGUGUUUAAUAUUUUAAACGUUGGCAUGGAAAAGCCUAGAGAAAUUACAAUGAGCGAAUGGGAUAGGGAGGUGCUGAGCGAGAAACAGAUUCAGCAUGCAGCCAUUGAUGGGUUUGUUUCGUGUACGUUGGGUGUUGUACUGAUGAAGUCCGUCAAGCAGAAACAGAAGAGGAGAAUGAGGAAGAAAAGUAAAAAAGCUUCAUUCCAAAUCGAAAGGGAAGUAGAGAAGCAGGCAUUAUUAAUUAAGAAAUAGAUUAGAGUUUAAUUUGUCUUUCUGUUUUUUUUUUUUUAAAGUAAUAGAUUAGAGUUUAAUUUGUCUUUCUGUGUAGAGAAGCAGGCAUUAUUAAUUAAGAAAUAGAUUAGAGUUUAAUUUGUCUUUCUGUUUUUUUUUUUUUAAAGUAGAGAAGCAGGCAUUAUUUCUUUUUUGUUUUGGAAGUGUUGUUAAUUAAUUAAUAGAUUUUUUUCUUUUUUAAUCUUAAGUGCAGAAGUUAAUUAGUCUUUUUAGUCAUAUUAAUCUCCUGCUUCAUUAUGGAGAUACAAUUUUGAAAGAGACUUAAAAAAUAGUUUAUAGCCUACAAACUCUACGACAAUAACAUGUAACAAAUUGAUAUUCACUCAAGCUGAUGAAAUUUAUGAAUAUUCUUUAUUAAUUAUCAGUUGAUAGUGAUGCUCCUGAUCAGCAGGACGAAUAAAUUAACCUUAUUGCUGUCUUUGAUUUGAUCAAAGACGAAUGAAUUCUCAGCAUAUUUUGCGGUGAAAUAGUUGAAUAGUUGAUCCACAAACUCACUUCCAAAAUGUUUUUCGACAAGUCCCUCAAGGGGACAGCUCUAAUCUGUAAGGUUACAGAUUCGGCAGAGAGUUUCAAGUGCUUCAUGGGAGUAUCAAGCAAUUUGUCUAUUCUCUCAAUUGCUGAAACAUUCACUCCUCUCUGUAAUGGACUUCGGUUCCUUUGAGGUUGGGCAGUACAUAAAGGAGUCCAUUUUUUCUUCAUUAAUUAAUCCCCGCCAAUAAUGACAUUAAAACAAAAAAUUUGGAAACUUUGAGAAAAAUGAUCACAGCCUCUUAUUAUAUCUGUCGAAAUUAAUCAUUUGUCCUAUCAUGUUUUAAAGUCUAUCAAAAUUUACUCAUUGUUGAAAAAUAUUUUGUUAACUUUUCAGCUUUUUUUUGUGUCCUAAACAGUAUAUGUUCUCUUGGAUCGUGAAAAUUGCAGCCAUUUUUCAAUAAGAGUACUUGCGACUAACUAAUUUGCUGUCAAGUGUCAACGACUCAAUGGACGAACUACGUCCUUAUUAAAUAGCAACCAGGAUGUUAUUAUAAAAUUCUGAAAGAAAAAUUAUUAGGGAUCACAACAGAAAACAACGGAAAAUGAAAUUGUCGUACAAGCAUUGAAACUGAAACAAUUAAGUAUUAGGGAAACAGAAACACCGACGCCAUAUUUAGCACAUAAACGAAACUUGGGUUCUAAAAUUCUGCGGCGUAGAGUUGAUAUCUAAUCAAUUUCGCCUGAGUAGAACAAAUAAUUCAAUCUUGCCCUGUGUUUUCCCAUCGCAGAUGGAGCUCAUAUUUUCUGCAAGCUUUGUGGAGUAAUAGUUGAAAAUGCGAUCCACAAACUGGUAUCCAAAGUGCUGGCCGACGAGCCCCCCAAAGGCAGCUCGUGAUAGCGAGGCCCAAAAUUCAGCCGAGUAUACCAUGUGCACUAACGGAUGUGUAAAGGUAUUCAUUAUCUCAAUGCUGAAGUUUUUGUUUCUCUUUAUAUGGCCCAUUAACUCCCCAAGAAAUGGAUAGUACAUAGGCACAUUGAAGGAAUCCACUUUUUCUUCAGCAAUUAAUCCCUGCAAAUAAUAUAUUAAUAUAAACAAGUAACAAUUAAUUAAUUGGGAUGUGAUCAUGAUCAUCAGAAAUAAAGACCUAUGUCCUAUAUAUUACAUAUAUGUAGGUGUGUGUUCUUGCUUACCAUAUUGGCCAAGUCAUAGAGGCAAGAGCCUAGAUAAUCAAAAUUUGUACCCUCAGGAGUACUGAACAUAGGGAUCCCAUCUCUUAUUGUAGGUGUUAGAAGGAGUAACAAUCCCCCAGGCACAAGUUCUUGAGCUCUAGCAUUUAGAAAGGACUCAAUGUCAUUCUUAAACUGAGCUGAAUACGCUUCAGCAACUUCUUUCUCAAAUCCUGAGCAGAGUAUAUGGCCUCUAUUCCACGCAGGAGAGUUACUAUUCGUAAUUUCUUUGGGAAUCUUGGAGAGCCACGGAAGGGCAUUGGAUGUGUGUGCAACAUGUAGAGACGACUCAGGAAACAAGCGGCCGUGAAAAGAGCCCGGCACUCCGGUCGCAAAGUAUUUUUGGGAGAGAGGGACGGAUUUGAAGAGAGUGUUGAAGUCAUUGUUGGAGUGAUCAUUAAAGAAAACUUGGAAUUCUAGGCCUGAAGGGUUGUCGUGUUCGCAUUCACAAUCAUCUUGGUACUUAAUUAGCUCUAUGGCUUCUAUAAUAUUUUGCAUGGCAAUGAACGUGUUAGGUCCAGUUGAGCAGCCUAAAUCAGCAAUCUUAAAUGUGCUGGAGGUGUCUAGUCUCAGGCUUUUCAGGUCAAGCGUUUUGCGGAUGCCUGCAGCGAUCAUUCCCUUUGAACCAUUCACGAUUGCCUCCUAGCAGCCAUAUAUAAUUAAGCCCGAGCGUCAGAUUUAGUGAAAAACAAUGCAAUUGAUGACAAAAUUAAGAUGUCAAAUUAAUGGAAUAUCUAAACAAUGAAAGAAAUUAAUGGAAAGCUUAGUAACAUAGCUAGUCAGAGAUUAACCCUGAAUUGACUAGCAGCAACAGAUACCUGGUAGAUAGAAUUCUUAGCAUAGCUGUGAGGUCCGUCUCCCCCAACCAUGGGGUAUGCCUCGGGCGAAAUAUUGGAGACGAAUGUGUUAUGAACCAUUUUCUCUUAAUCUCUCUACAAUAUACUAAACGAUUACUAUGUGCCUGCAUUUAUAGCCAUUAUGGUAUAUCAUUGUCAUAACAAGUAGCACGAUAACAAUAUUGUGUUUGAUUACUGUUAAUCUCUCCCAUUGAAACUUUUGCUCGAUACUAAGAUAAUAUCAUCCAGGCCCCUGAGUUUUAACCAAAAAAGAAUCAAGGAUAUAGUUAUGAAGCUUUAACUCAACGUGCGAGGACUUUUAUGAAUUAUAAGACACUGUAUUCCCUCUACUAAUGUAAGGACCUAUAUGAAAAUGUUUUACAAGCUAUUUCGUAAUUUGUUGUCUUCUGAAAAAUCAAGGAACCAGAUAUUUACUACCCAUUUGAUGACAGCAUUGCUUGUGCGCAGCUUCUAGCAGCCUUGUGAUUUUGCUAGCAAGAAGUGACAAAGCGAUGGCGGGCUCCGGCAAACGACCAGACAUGGGCAUGGUCCUGGUCCCUAGGCGAUGAUUAUUCAUUGAAUUAAGUCGUAUUUAAAUUAUUGUUUUAGUAUCAUUAUUGCUUAUCUUAAAAAAAAAAAAAAAAUUUGAUUGUGUAGUCAGUAGUCACUGUAUUAUAUUUAUGAAGUCAUCUUUUAAGCCACUUGGUCCGCGGCCAGCUGGCAGGCUGCUGGCUCUUACAAUAAUUGCGAGAGUAGCUCACAGUUGAUCGAGUUCGGAGAAUUAGUAGAGGUAAUUAUCUCUCCUGUAGUUUGUGGGUGGUCGCAAUGUAUAUUUUAUGUAAAUAUUUGAAGACUUGUACAAUUGUAAAUUUGUAAUUUUCAAAAAAAGGAAAAGUCAUUUUUUAAAUUAUUAAGUCGUCUUAAAUUAUUGCUUAUCUUCAAAAAGAGAAUAAAAAAAAUUAUUGCUUGUUUCAGCUUUUGGUACGAGAGUAGGGUUUGUUGGUUAUACAUUUAAAAUUUUAUUUAUUUCAUACUUUUUUAAAUUUAUUUUUUUAGUAACCAGUGUCUGAUUUUAAAUAUUUAUAAUUAAAAAAUAGUAAAAUUUUGUGACUUCUAUCUAAAUAAAAAAGUCUAAAUGAGAAAUAAAUAUUAUACUAAAAAAUAUCUUUUAUAUAAACGUCUAAAUAAUACAAUAAAUUUUUUUAUUUAUUAAAACUUAAUUCUUUUUUAUUUUGAUUUACAAUAAUAUAAAUGUAAAAAAAAAUUAUGUUUAAGAUUUUUUUUUAUACAAAUAAUAUCACUGUCACUCUUAUUCGUAUAUUAAAAAAAAUAAAACAUUUAUAACCUUUAGAUUUUUUGAAAAAAAUCAUAACUAUUCAUAUUUAAAACGAAAAAAAUAAAUAAAUGCUAUCAUUUGCUCUAUAUUAUUUCCUUGUGUCACUUGUAUAUGAAUAACUUUAUAUUCAUUCAUGGGGAAGAUAAAGACAAUCGGAAAAAUGGGAGCCGCCUUUGUAGAAGCUUACUAACUAAUAAAUUUCCUGAACAAAUUUGUUUGGUCAAAAUGACAAAAGCACAAAUAUUGUUUUAAGUCCCAAUCUCAUUAAGAUUCGAAGAGCAGCCAAAAAGGAAAAAAUAAAAAUAAAAAUCAAUCGACAAAUAAUUAUUAUAAUUUGUUAAUUGUUGAUUAUAUGAUGGGAAUGCUGCAAUCUAAGCUGGAGAGUCUUCCAGUGUCCAAACUUCUCAUUCUAAAAUUUUUUUUAAAAAAAAUGAUAAUUUAGUUUUUUUUUUUUUUUUGUUAAAUGAUUCAAAAGAAAAACGAAUCUUAAUCUCGUAGCUGUAUCAUGUUGCACUUGCACCUCACCUUUCUAAUAACUACAAAUAGAAUCUAAUAAUUAAUCUUAAUUAUUCUUUAAAAAAACAAAAAACAAAACAAAACGAAUGAGCGGUUGAUCAAAAUAAUAGCAACUCCCAUUAUCAACUGGUUUGAAGAAUAAAAUAAUAGCAAUUGCCUUAAAAUCCAAAUACAAUAAAUAUAUACUAAUAGAGGUUAUUAGAUUAUAACGAAAUUGAAAGAGCUAUUAUUUAUUUAUUACUAAUUAAAUAUAUUCCAACCGUUUCCUGGGGGGCAUCCAAUGCCAGGAUUAGAAUAUCAUAUCUAUUAUCUAGAGAAAUUAAAUUAUUAGAAUAAAUUGAUUUAGAAUUUAAAAAAAAUAACAUUGAAGAGUUUAAUCAAUGAUAAAUGCCCCCAGAUCUCCCCGAAUUUGAACAUUUUCCAAGUCGCCCUCUGAAAUAUUAAUAAUGUAGAAGAUCAAUUAAAACGAGAACCCACAGUAUAACUACAGAAAUAAUUAAGUGAUCACCGAUCAGCCUACUUAAUUGAUCAAUCAAGAAUUGCUUUUUAAUUUUUGCCUCUAGAAAAUAAGUGAUGUACUUCUUGAAUCGUGCCACCAAGGGCUAAUUUAGUAAUGUUGUAUCUUUUAAAAUAAUUAUUGUUAGUUGUGCUGUAAAAAUAAUCAACUGUGAUGAGAAUCAAUUAAAAGUUUGAUAAAAGUUAUUUUUAAAAGUAGAGUAAAUUUUAAAAACAGUCAUGUAUGUUUGAUAAUUCUUACUGUUAAACUACUAUAAGAACUUAAACGACUAAAUUAAACAUAAUGUUAAAUAAAAUAUAUAUACACAUGUAUGUAAUUUUUUUUUUGUAUAUCUAAUAAUUGAUAACUAAAGUUCUUAAUUAUGUUAUAAAUAACUUUACAUAUUGAGAACUUUAGAACCAUCUAAAUUUGAUCCAAUUAGUAAAUACGUGGUCUAAAUUUGACGUAUGUUAUAAUUAACUGCGUAAUCUUAAUUAAGUCAACUUGAAGUCUAUAACUCUGGGGUGUGUGAGUUGUGUUAACAUAUAUUGUGUCACAAAUGGUCUCUCCUCAAAGAAAGCACUAAGCGAGGUAAAAGAUAUUCAUCAAUUUCGUUAUUUAUUUAUUUAUUUUUUCGCAAAGAGGUUCAUCAACUCAGUUUAGAACAAUAGAAUUCUGUUGUGUUGGUUGUUAAGCAGAGUAAGCAUUAUCCGGCUGUGUAAUUAAUUUGUUAAGAGCAAUUUUCUUCCACUUUUCUAGCACCUCCUCAGAGCUUUGUAUGUUAGCCAAUGUUCCCGUUUUUUGAUAUCUUGAUAAAGCAUUUUCUCAGGCUCUCUUGCUUGAUUAUUGAAAAUUAUUUUGGGCUCAGAAUUUCAUCAUAGAAGCCCUAUGAGUAGAAGCCCAAGCCACGAACUGCGUAAGUCCAUUCCAAACUCACUCACGCCCAUUUAAUCUUUUAAUGUGAAAACUGAAAAGUACACUAUUAAUAAUUUAAUCAUAUCACUUCUUGAUCAUUAAAAAAAAAAAAAAUUUAAUCAUAUCACUUCUUGAUCAUUAUUUAAUCUUUUAAUGUGAAAACUGAAAAGUACACUAUUAAUAAUUUAAUCAUAUCACUUCUUGAUCAUUAAAAAAAAAAAAAUUAAUAAUAAUAAUAGUAGUACUAAAAUCAUAUCACUUCACUUCAAAUACAAGUUAUUUGCAAUAAUUGGAGUCAGAAAUUAAACAAGUGGGGCCAAUUAUCAUCUCCCCUAAGUAUUGUGCUUAAGAAUGAUAACAUUUUCAACAAGGGGCUUGUAGACUGACGUCUGAGAAUAAACUGAAGACUCAUCAAUUUUCUUUGAGAACCUAUCAAACAGGUCCUCAAUAAUGCCAUUCCCAAAGUGCUCCUUGACAAGCAUUUCUAAAUUAGCUCUCAGAUGAGAAACCACUGUUGGGGUAUUUGUAGCCAACGGACGCUGCGCAGACAAAGCUAAUGGCUCAAAUUUCUCAAUGCUGAAACUUGCAUUUCUCUUUAACAAUGCCUUCAAUUCUUGUGGUGUUGGGAAGUAACUUGGCAAGUUGAAGGAGUCAACCUGAGCUUCACUCAGCAAUCCCUGAAACAAGAUUAAGCAAUUAUGUCAACAUUUGUAAUUGACCGCACAAAAUUAAUAUGAAAAGUUACCAUUUUGGCCAUGUCCAUAAGACAGUCUCCCAGUAGAUCAGCAGAAGCUAAGACAGAGCACUCUCCAGGGGAAAUCCCAUCCGGCAGACAUGGUACAAUAAGAGCCAUUAGCCCUCCGGAAGCGAGCUCUUGUGCCCUGGCUAGUAAAAAGGACUCAAUUCCCUUGGCAGAUUCAGCUGAGUAUGCUUCUACAACUUCAUUUGGGCCUCUGCUGUAAUAAAUCCUCCCCUUGUUGUAGGCAGGUGAGUUCUGGUCAUUCAACUCUUUUGGCGUGCUUGAGAGCCACUGAAGGCCGUAUGAGCAGUGGAAGAAAUUGAUUGAAGCCUUGGGAAAUAACCGAUUGUGAAAAGAACCCGGUACGCCGGCUGCAUAGUAUUGUCGAUCGGAAGGAAGAGACUUGUAAAGGGCGUUGAAAUCGUUUGAGACAAGGUCAUUAAAGAACACUUGAAAUUCAAGUUUAUCAUGGCCAUAGCUUUGGCACUUGAGUUUCACAGAAUCUAUUAUGUUUUGUACAGCGUUGAAUGUGUUUGGCCCAACAGAACAUCCUAAAUCCGCAAUGGAAAAUACUUUUGAAGAAGAAGACGCGACUCGAUUUAAAUCAAGCUUAUCAGAAAUCACCCGGUUGAUUAUGGCUUUGGCUGUUUCCACUCCGUGGCUCUACAAAUUGUUAAAUGCUAGAUAUAAAUGACUUGUAACAUUUUGCAGCAUCAUUUUCAAUAAAAGCUGCCAUAAUUUAAGCAUUUGUUUUAUACAAGACACUGUUUUAUGUGGGCUAAAAACAGUACCUGAAACUCAGAAUUGCGCGCGUAACUGUACUGCCCAUCUCCUCCCAUCAUUGCUUGCGAUGAAACAGAUUCAGAGGCCAUAUCUUUCUAUUCUCUGGUGGUUGAUCUUGUUACUGAAUGAUAAACUUGAAGAAAUGGUUGCAGGAAAAUGAUUGGUUUAUUAAAUUAAAGUGAUAGCAUAUAAUAAAGUGGUGCAUGUUUGACCAGCUAAUGGCGAAAACUAGAAUUUUUCUUCUUGUCCAGCCCUUGUCUCACUUUGUCUAAAAGAGCCCGAUCCCAAUCGUUUGUCACCGCAAAUAAUUUUAUUGAUUACAAAUUUUCUAAAACAAUUCCUAUCAAAGGCCGAAAAAAUAAAAAUAAAACAAUUACAAAACUGCCUGCUAUUUGUAAGGAGUAAUGAUAUAGUUACAAACUCUUGUACACAUUUAUUUUGUACAAACAGACGUGACAUUAAUUUAUUGGUUGAAUGAAAAUAUAAAAUAAUAAAAACAAAUCAUGUAGGCCAAAUGAUAUUUAAUUCAACCAAUCUUAUCAUGUCACAUCAGUUUGUACAAAAGUUUGUGGCUAUAUUAUUACUCAUUUGUAAGAUAUAUACUUAAGUAAAUCAUCGUUAUACUAAAAAUAAUAUUUCUAAAUAAGACACCUAAUAAAAGUACAAAACUCCAACAUGUAUGACAAACAUUAAAAAAGUUUAGAACAAAGUUGUAACUUAUACAAGAUUCAAAAAUUGUACGCGACAUCAUAUGAUAAAAAACCGAAAUACUGUGCCCAUUGAUAUACAGACAGUAGGUAGCCGAGCGGAAAAGUUUUUCGCAUAGCUAUGAUCGCCAUCUCCGCCGCCAAUGGGUAAAGCUUCAGGCGGAACGUUGGUAGCCUCAUCAGCCAUAUUUUUAACUAUUUGGUUUAGUUCCCAAUCUUAUGCUAUGAUAUACAUAGUGCAUUGACUAUAUAUGGAAGCAAUGAAAUCCCUUUGUAUAAUCCCUACUUCUUCAAUUUAUUUAUCUUCUAAUUAUCUUUUAUAUUUGAAUUUAAAAUUAAAGGAAAGUGACAAGUGCUCCAAAUGCUCUUGAUAUUAAUUUCUCUACCAUAGUGUUAGAAAAUUACGAAUGUGCUGUUUGUUUUUUAAUAUGAAGUUUGAAUUUAAUUUUUUUUCGGACAUUUACUUAUUUUAGUUUUUUUUUUUAAUUUAUCACUUAUUGUCAGACAAUUAUAUUUGAAUAAAAAAAGUAAAAAAAGUCAACUUUUAUAUGAAGUCUGAAAUGUAAAUGGGAAAUUUUAAUUUGAAAUCUCAAAAAUAACCUUAACAAUUCAUGUAUUUCCAAUAUUAUGUAUAAACUUAAUAUUUUUGUAUUAUCCUAAGUUAUUUUUUUAAUUGCUUCAAAUUUUUAUUCACAUGGUAACAUUAAGUAAAAUUGAAACAUUGAACAAAUUAAAUUAUUUCCAUUGUGAUGAAUCAAAACUAAAACAAUAGUGUUGAUUUUAUAAUAAAAGUUGAUGUUAUAAUUACAUCUUUUAUUAUAAAAUUAAAUUAAAAUCAAUAGUGAUAGUACUUUUUUUUUGUGCUACCAAACUAAUCAACUUGUAAAAUUUAUAAAUUGUAAAAAAUAAAUAUAUGCAUCACUUAAAAAGAUAUUUAUGUUAAAUUACUAGUUUUUAAACUUUUCUGUUCAGAUGUUGAAAAAAGAAACAAACAUGUCAUUCGGAUAUUUUCAUUCAGAUAUAUUUAGACUUUAGUUAAAUUCGGAUCUAUUCAGAUUUCAGAUAAAAAAAACAAACGCAGCCUAAGGCUCUUGUCUCCCCUUAGAAAUUGUUGGACUAUGGUAUUUUUUUUAAUUAAUUUUUUAAGGUAUGACGGCGCAUAAAUUGGUUGUUUAAGUUAUAAUUUGGUUUAGUCUGAAUUUUCAUCUAAAUUAAUCCCAAAACUAUUUGGCCUUUCUUACAUUACCAUGGUGGACACAAUAUGGCCAUUGAGAUUGAAAUUGUCAACCAAGUAACUAGUAUCAAUUCAUAAGUAAUAUUGUGGUGGUCAUUGAGAUAAUAUUAUUUGAUUAAGUUUAUUUUGUAAAAAUAAACGAAAUUCCUAAUAUAAAGUCCCUACAUGGUCACUAAAGUAGAAACUAGAAGUCUAGAAUUAUAUAUAUCACAUAGCAAUAGACAAUACAGUGCCAUAAUAACAGAACAAGACACUGCCGAUACAUGAAAUAUAGGUACCAUACGUGACUGUAGUUCUGGAGCAAAAGUAAUUAUGUAUCAGUUGAUCACGCGCUUGAGUAGGACGAAUAAAUUGACAUUGUUAUGGUCCUUGAUGAGCUCACCGAAGAUGAAAUUCUCAGCAAACUUUGCGGUGAAGAAGUUGAAUAUCUUGUCUACAAGGUCAUAACCGAAAUGCUCUUUGACAACGCCCUCAAACACAGCUCUGAUUUGUGAGGUAACAGAUUCGGGACUCGGUUUCAGGCGCAUCAAAGGAGGAUCAGGCAAUUUGUCCAUUCUCUCAAUGCGGAAGCAUCCAUUUCUCUCUAUGAUAGCCUUCAGUUCCUCUGCGGUUGGAAAGUAUAGAGGAAUGUUGAAGGAGUCCACUUUUUCUUCAUCAAUUAAUCCCUGUGUACGUAAUACAAAAUUUAAUGAUUGAUCAAGAUUUUGCAGAUCAUGCAAACUUAAUAUUGGUUUUAAAUCAUACCUUUGUGGUCAUGUCAAUGAGGCAAGAGCCGAGAAAACCAUAUAAUUUACCCCCAUUAGAAUCAAUCAUAGGAACACCGUUUGGUAGACUAAAUAAAACGAAAACAAUCAAUCCUCCAGGCACAAGUUCAUGUGCUCUGGCAUUCAGAAAUGCCUCCGUGUCAUUCUUAAACUGAGCCGAAUAUGCUUCGGACACUCCUUUCACCAAUCCUGAGCAUAUUAUACUGCCUUUGUUCCAUGCAGGAGAUCUACUAUCCAGAAUUUCUUUCGAAAUCUUGGACAGCCAGUUCAGUGAGCUGGAGGAGUUUGCAAAAUGUAGAGAGGACUUGGGAAACAAACGGCCGUGAAAGGAACCCGGCACCCCGAAGGCAAAGUAUUUUCGGGAGGGAGGCAUGGUUUGAAAGAGAGUGUUAAAAUCGUUACCAUAGUGAUCGUUAAAGAACACUUGAAAUUCCAAAGCUGAUGAAGAGUUUUGAUGAUUGUCCUGAUGAUCAGCACGGUAUUUUGUUUGUACAGCUUCUAUGAUGUUUUGCACAGCAAUAAACGUGUUCGGUCCAACGGAGCAGCCAAAAUCUGCUAGUUUAAACGUACCGCAAGUGUCGUCAAAUCCCAGGCUUUUCAGGUCAAGCUUAUCAAAUAUUGACUCACUUAUCAUUUCCUUUGCAGCAUCUAUUAUCAUCCUCUGUAUAUUUAUGCAAAUCCACAAUUCUAGUGUUAGUAAGUGUACAUCGAUAUGUAAAAAGAAAAUUCAAUACAUAUUAACAUGAUUUAAAUUAGCAAAUGGGAUUAAAUUAAAAAAAAAAAAUUAUACCUGGUAGCCUGACUCAGUAUUAAUAAGCCAAAAAUAAACUCAUCAAAUAAAUCAGUAGAACAUAAAACAUACUUACUAAGUCUCAGUAUGUAAUUAAUGUACCUGGAAAGAAGAGUUUUUUGCAUAGCUGUAAUCGCCAUCUCCGCCAACCAUGGGAAAUGAUCCUGGCAAAACGUUCGCAGCCUCAUCAACCAUUUUUAAUAUAUAUAUAUAUUAUCCCUUUCUCUGAGAUGUAGCAGAUAUCUUUUUAAGGCUGCAAUCCUAGUUCCAUGAAGCAACAAUAUUAAUAUAUAGCACAUGCAAGGAGCCUGUUCUGACAUCGAAAUCAGUUUCUAUUCGAAUGCAUGAUUAAUACAGGUUCUGAUUAUUUGACCAAUCUUAUUUUAAGUUGCCAAUCUUGUUAUGCAAGAUGCAUUGACAAUAUAUGUGGAAGAAAUGAGUUCCACCUGUUUUAAUUUAAGAAUGAUGACAUCAAGGUGUGAUUGAGCAGAAAUUGACCUUUAAGUUAUGAAUUGGUUUGUUUUGAAGUUUCUCUUAAUUAUUCCCAAAAGUAUUUGAGCGUUUUUUAUUGCAGCCUCCCUCAUAUAACUAUGGAGGACAUUGGAACACCACCUUGUAUAACAAAGCAUUUUAUAAAAUUGGAUAUCUGAGUUCUCGAGUUCAGAUUUUAGGAUGUGAAGAUUAAUAAUUUGAUUUAGAUGUUACUAUUUUUUUGUUUUUAUUUUUUACAAAAGAGAAUUAUAUACACACACACACGCAUUUACGGGUCGAAACACAAAUUUACAGGGAAAUGUGCCAUAUAUCCUUUAAAUAGAAGUCUUUAACAUUUUCCUUGUAUAUUUUUUUAACCAAAUCAAAUGUAACAUAUAAUAUUUCCGUUAAUACCAAACCUUAUUGUCAUGGACAUAACCGCCCAUUUUCCCACCAAAAUGCGUCUCUUAGCAGACCCAUAUAUCUCUCUACAUUCCUCCACUUGCUCUGCUGAUUGGUUCUCGAGAAACCCAAUUCAAAGAUGGAGGGUGACGCUGCUGCUUCGGGCGAUUUUGACAUGCAAGUGAUUGGGAAUUUCUUGAGUUUCGCGUCUAGAGGUGAUAGAGUUGGGCUAAACCAGAUGUUAAGGGAAGGCACAUCUCCAAAUGUGCAGGAUUAUGACAAGAGAACUGCUUUACAUCUUGCUGCAAGUGAAGGCCACGCCCCCAUUGUUGAGCUUCUUCUUCAAUACAAGGCCAAUCUCAACCUCAAAGAUCGAUGGCAACGCACUGUAAGCUAGCUGACCCACCCACUUGCCCUUUUGUAUUUUUAAGUCACUUGUCUAAGUGAUUGUAAUUGUGGUUUUUGCUGUGAUUUUCGGUUCCCUCAAUUACUUUUCAAAAUUUGGAGUAUUUGGAAUUACUUGCUAGCAUGUUACUGUUAUUUGCAAACUCUUGAUCAUCCUCUGGAUAAAAUUUAUUUGCAUGUUUAACGUAAAGUAAUUAGUUUGAUCUUUGGUUGUAUUACGAAGCCCUUGACAGAUGCAAGACUUUAUGGCCAUCGAGAUAUAUGCAGAAUCCUGGAAGUAAAUGGAGGGAAGGAUUUUAUUCAUGAUCAGCCACUGGUAAUUGGAAAGUAAAACAUUUAAUUAAGUACUUCAUGAAUGAACUCAACACCACAAUGUUUUGUUUAAUUUUUAGCUGUAAAAUGGUUUGAUCCUUUUAGAUGGUUAAGUUUAGGCCACUUGAGAUGGUUUGAUUGUGGACAUUGGUAAGAAAAUUUUUGAUAGCCGCAAUUCGAAAGAUUGAUCCAGAGCAUAAAAUUAAUUAUCAUUAAUGGAAGCUAAAAGUUGCUUAGGAAGUGUCUUGCAUUAAGUAGGACGGAUCAUCCUUCUCCCGUUUUUGUUUCAGAAGAAAGAAACUGACAUUUAUUUUGGAUAACUAUUACGGCAUAUUGUUCAUUAUUUAUGUAGACAGUCAGAAACGAGAAAGAUUCAAAUGAAGUAAAUUUUGAUAUUUCGGAACUGAAUACACUGCACUCCUCAAUGGUUGAACAGGUGCGUUAAUUGAAUUGCCACUAUCAGUUCAUAACAUUAGAAGAAUUUCGUACCAAAGUGUCCAGUUAUUCUCAAUGUGACUAUAAUUAUAUGAGAGAAAUUCUUCUUGUCCUAGGGGGUUUUUGGCGAAUCUCAAACAGCCAAGUGGCGUGGAACGUGGGUGGUCAAAACUGUGAUUAAGAGCCACAUAUAUCAUCCUGUAAAAAUGUAUAUGACCUAUCAGAUUGUUCAUUUUAUUAUCUCAAGUCUUUUGUCAUAUCUUUUUUCAAAUGAUUUGGUUGAGUCUGUGGUGGCUGAGGGAAUAUUUUGACAGUGAAGAUAUUGAUGACUUUAUUUUCAAGCAUGUUGCAGGGUAUUGUCUGCCAAGGAUAACUGUAAGCUGCGGGAGCUUCGACAUCCUAAUAUCUUGCAGUUUCUUGGUUCAAUUGUCCUCGGGGAGGAGAUGAUUCUGAUUACGGAAUAUCUGCCAAAAGUAUUUCUUACUUUGAAUAUCUAAAUUGCUUUUCUGCAAGUUGUUGGGAUUAAUUAUAGUUUUAGUUACUGGCUAUAGCUCAUAAUAUUCCUAAUAUUUUGGCUUUAGUCCAAUAAAGUUUCUAACUACUACUGAAUAUGCGUAACAUUCAAUAUGUACUUUGUCAUCAGAGAACUUUACUACCUACAAAUCCUGAGAAAUUUGGAGUUGUGGUUUGAGGCAGGGUAGUUAACAGAGGAUGUUUAUGCAAGUUAUGAACUUUAAAUUUAAUGUCCAAGGAUGUGGGUGUUCUGUAUACAAGUAAUAAGAUCCAUAAAAAGUGACUGAAACCAAUUUCUAGGCAUGAUUUAGUUAUUAUAAAUAAUGUGAAAUAAUUAUUCUCCUAUUCUAUUUUCUCUCAUAUGAUUUGGAAGAUUAGACCUGGAAAAUGGGAAGCUUAUUUUCUGUGAUCAUUCUGUCUUGGUCAGGUAUGUUUGAUCAACUGAUCUUGCUAAUUGUUACCUAUGCUAAUCCAGGGAAACUUGAAAGGGAUAUUGUCCAAGAAAGUUCGACUCGACUUACCCACUGCUCUACGCUAUGCACUUGAUAUUGCAAGGUGAGAUACUUUUGUUCCUUGCCACUAAACAGAGGAUUUGCUUAUCAGUAUCAUGUCAAAAUGUUUUCUCCUCAUAUAUGCAACAGACAUGGCAUUGUACCAUGUAGCAAUCAGAAUUGUUCUGUCUAUAUGAGUAAACCUUAAACACAAAUUUAUUUCCAUUUGUUUGUAUUAAACAUGAACUAAAUGUGUACUCUUAAUUUUUAAAACAAUUGGCAGAGGAAUGAAUUAUCUUCACGAGCACAAACCCUUCCCUAUAGUUCACAAUCAUUUGGACUCCAGGUAGCAUUUUAAUUUUCAUGAACAUAGUUGUGACAACUGAAUAAUGAUCCUAGAAAGUCAUCUUUCAUUUUUCGUUUGCUGGAUGUAGAAAUCUGCUGCAAGACGAAGGUGACCACUUGAAGAUUGGAGAAUAUUGGGUUCAAAUGUUCUAUGAACAAAUACACCCAAACCAAGAAAACAGUAUGGAACGUCAUUUUCAGUCAACUUCUUGCUUUUAAACUUCGCUAUUGCAUCUCAAAAACCUAUUCUGUUUCUCAGGUCAAAGAAAUGAUAAUUCUAGCAUUGCUAGCAAUGUAUUGGAUGACACCAAGAAAGAUAUUUGUUCAUUUGGAUACAUAUUUUAUCAGGUAUAUAUUUGGAAUACAACGGCACACAUGAGACCUCCUAUUCUUAUAUCAUCAGUGGAUCUACAUAGGGGAAACGUUGUCUGACGUUAUGAAGAAAUAUAACAAUUUAGUUUAGAUUGAUGUGAGCAGAAAAUGAGUAGCAAAUUGGGAAUUCUGCUCUAAAGGAUCCCAAUCCUUUUUAUCCCCAUGCUUUCUUAUUUAAAUAACGUAUCCUAUUGACAGUUUUGUCAUUUUUGUGUUUGAAAUAUGAUUGUGCCACAGAUGCUAGAAGGAAAGCACCUGCAGACCAAUAAUAGCUUUGACUUCAUGCAUCUCAAAUCUGUCAAUUUUGAGCCAAAGUUUCAAAUAAGCCGAUGCCCCAACCGACUUAAACAGUAAGUGAACAUAAUUUCCAUCUAGAUCUCAUAGUGUUAAAUUUGCAAAAUCUCUGUUUACAGCAUAUGAAGUAUUAAAAGCAUUCUGAUUAUAAGUAGUCAAAUGAAACAAUCUUAUCAUGAUGCAAGAGGGAUAAAAAAAAAAUUGUGUGCCAUAACCUAACAAAUACUGAAGAGGAAUCAAGCAUCAAAAUCCUUAUAUGGCCUUUGCACGUGCCUUUUCAUAAGAACCCUUUAGCAAUCACAUGGUUAAUAAUUGCAGGUUGAUAGCGCAGUGCACAAACAAGGAUCCUUCUAAAAGACCUACAUUUGCUGCCGUCAUUAUAACUCUGGAAGAAGUCUCUGCUUGUUUGGGGAGAAGCGCAUUAUGCCCAGUAUGUUAAUUGCAGCGUAACAAUGUACAUAGAGGAGCACUGCAUCAAUAAUUCAUAAUCUCCCCAGCCGUGUAGUGAGAAAAAGUUACAAUUAAUAUUAUGCUAAGUAUAAUGAUUGAUACAUUGUUUUAACCGUGCUUCCUACUGGUAAUAAGUUUAUUAUUACAUGGAGAAAAAAGUUGCAGAGCUAUUGUUUCAUUUUUACCGAAAUUCUUAUUUUAUUUUCAACAUUAAUCAUAUGUAGCAUCUUGUCCUGUACUCGGAUUGCUGUGUACAAUCAACAUAUCUACUAAAAAUUUGAAAUCAUCAUAAACAGAAGAAUUAGAAUUUACAUGUGAAAUUGUGUUUUAGAAUGUUUAAAAUCAACGAUUGUACACCCCAACGUACUGGUAAAUGGUAACGGUGACAUCUUCCUCGAAAGCAUCUACCCAGCUCGCUAGCUCAAAGUUGAAUUAAAAUAAUGGCACCCAAGCAAAGCAUACGGAAUCCUUAAUUAAUAAACAAAAAUAUAUUGAAUAAAGGAGAAUGAUGCAAGUAAUUAUAUACUUGAUGCUUUGCCCGUGGGCGCACUCAAGCUCGAAUGAGAUGUAAUCCAAUAGAGUUCAAUGGUCAGGUGGGAAAGCAAUUUAUUAUGAUUCAAUUAUUCUAAUAGCGUAGCAUAGUUUACAACCAGUUACAUGUAUAAGAAAUAUCAAAUCAUAAUUUGGCAAGCAACGUCGUUCACUGUAUGAUGACUGAUCGAGGUGGGGCUCUGAGAAACUCUAUUAUUGAGCUUCUUUGACCGUAUACGAGAAAUAUCAAAACAUAAUUGUCACUCUUUCUCAAUGUAAUUAAGAGUAUUUCUUAAUACGUGUUUGGGGAAUUAAAUAAAAAUAAAUGGGUACAGAGAAAGUGGGCGAUCCCGUGACGCAGCAGGAAUAUGAUGACCCGCACCUCAGCGUGAACGGUGGCAACCGACUGCGACACCGCCACCGUCACUGCUUUCAAUUGACUUCCCCUUUUUGGCCAUUUUAUAAAAUAAUAAUCGUAAUUAUUGGUUGAUUUUACCAAGAUCUUACGCAAAGGCAAAGCUGACAAUCCAUUCGAGGUCAACCCCCAUAUGCUAGCUUUUAGCCUUUUACUUCUUCAACAAAUUUUCGUAAUAAGAUUGAUUUCAUUUUAGCUUUUUCUUUAACAAAAGAAAAAAAAUAAAAUUUGAGAUCAUAAAACUUAAAUAUGAUGCAAUUUACUCGGAUCUGUUUACUGAGACUCUUUUUCUAUUUUGUAACCAUCUCCAGACAGGCGGCAGCAAAGGCCACGCAUUUAAGGUCCCACGCGUUACAAAAUAUUCAACUAGGAUCAGAUUAAAAGAUUUAACUGUAGUUACAACUAGGAUGGGACACGUGCAAGAUUACUUUCCUAAUCCUUUCCGCUUCUUGAACAGUUCUCAUUGUGCUUUACUCCUUUUGCCCAACGCGGACAGCGGACUCAACUAUAAUUGUCAACUCAACUCCCGAGACAACUGUCCCCCUGCUGAUACUGGGAAAUUAUCCUAUUUGUCCCUAACAUUUUUUAUCUUUUAAUGUAAGAACACAAUUUUUCCAUUGAUAUCAAGUAUGACCCCAACCCAUUGGUUUCUGUUUUCAUACAUUUACAACGUAAAAUAUGUAUACGUAUAGAAAAUCCACUAAAAUUAAAUGAUAAGACCUUUAUUUUCACAGUCUCUACAGUUAUAAAUAUAUAUCUACUCUCACUAAUAUUUAAAAAGAUAUAUAAUAUCUCUAUCUAUAUUUAUUAAAUAAUAACAAAUACUUAAUCUUUUAAUAAUUCAAACUAAUGCCUUCAAUACUACUAAAGGCAUAAAUCAACAAUUCAUUGUACAAUAAAUUUGAGUGGUAAUCUCUAUUAAUAUCAUUUAAGUAUUUUUACAAUUUUGAAAGUUAAUAAUGAAGGGUAUUUUAGCCAUUUUAAUGCUAGCUAAUGCUUAAUAUGGACUUAUUUUAUAAAAAAAAGAAAAAUUGUCCUUACAUAAGAAAAUAUAACAUCUGGGGACUUCAAUGAUAAAAUCCCUUUAUAAGAUUAUUCAAUUCUGAAUCUUCCGACCUUUUCUCCCCUGUUCAUUCCCUUAUAAAUCUGUCAACUUCCAUUCCCACACCACAAUAUUUCCAUCUUGUAUUCUCUUCUUUCUUGAAUCUUGGGUUUGAUCCUCCCCAAUCUUCUCUCUCAUAUUUGACGCUUCAUUCGUAGUUUUAUUGCUUCAUCUCUUCUGCAACUCUUAAUUAAUUACCAUGGGCAAUCACAUAUCGUGCACACUAUCAAAGCCACUAGGCAAGCACACAAGAUCAGCAAAAGUGAUCUUUCCUGGCGGAGAAAUAAGGCAAAUCCAGACACCCAUCAAAGCCGCAGAGCUCAUGCUGGAGAAACCAAACUUCUUCUUGAUUAACUCUCGGUCUCUAAAGAUAGGCCAAAGAUUUUCUCCACUCAACGCCGAUGAAGACUUGGAACCAAAGAAUGUGUACGUAAUGUUCCCCAUGAAGAGGGCGACGUCUAAAAUCACUGCAACUGACAUGGCAACAUUAUUCGUCUUGGCUAAUAAGGCUGUGAAGCGAUGCUCUUCCGGCAAGGUGAGGAAUUUUCCUGAGUCAGAGUCUGCAGGCGAGGAAGUGGCGGCUUGUACGGCGCCGAUGCCCAAGUUGGAUGACAUGGAGGAGUUUUCGCAGCCGGAAUACGUAUACAGAUUGUCAGUUUCAAGAUCAAAGAAGCCCUUGUUGGAGACUAUAGAAGAAGAGACUACUUAUGCAAGAUGAUUGACACAAUAUAUGUGUCAUGGUCUUUUGUGGUUCGGGCAAGGGAGAUUGUACAAUUAGAUUAUUAGUAAUUGAGUACCUAGGAUUAUCCAAAUAUAAUUGUAUGUAUAAUGUAUGAUUUAUGCAAAUAUAGGAAUUUAAUUUGUAUAUGGAUAUUAAUUUUUUUUUAUAAAAAAACUCACUUCUCAAUAUUCUUUCUUUCUUUUUUUUUUUUUCCAGCAAAAUAAUAAUAAUAAUCAGAUCAAGAUCAUAUACGUACAUAAUGUGAAUUCAUCUUCUUGCUCAAAUCCAAAUUUUGCAGUAACCCAAACCAGCCCAUAUUUUGAGAUCGAAAAUAUUUUGAUUGAGGAUUCUAAGCUCACCCCAAACUUAUUCUGAAUCUGAUCCAACUCGUGACCUUAUGAUUUGGGUUUCGUUAGGUUGGGUUUGGUUUGGAUAGCGGGUUUUGAGUUCCCACCUUCCACAACAAGCUUUCUAGAAAUAGCUUUGGCGCCAUUAACUCCUCUUUCCCCUCAAACUGGAAAAAAAAAAAAAAAUCCAAAAAUCCACCAAUCUCCAUUUUUCAUCUCCACUCUCAAUACCCACUUAUAAAAUGCUUCCUUUCAGAUUCUAAUAAAUUCCCUCAUUAUACUUCAAUGGACUCUCAUCCCAGUGACAAAAACUUAACCCUAGACUCAACCCACCUCUUCCUCUCCACCCAAUCUUCCCCUCCCGAUUCCCUCAUUUUCGCUCCAAUUCCCCGCACUUUACCUCCUUCCAAACACAUUCCCAGCACCCGCUUCCUCAUCGACGCCUUUCGCUACGCCGCCGAUUUCUCCGUCUCUUACUUUCUCUCCCACUUCCACUCCGAUCACUACACCGGCCUUUCCCCUUCUUGGUCCAAAGGUAUCAUUUUUUGCUCCGAAAUCACUUCCCGCCUUCUUUCUCAGAUACUCAACAUAAACCCCAAGUUUAUCUACCCACUCCCAAUUAAGAUACCUGUUUUAAUUGAUGGGUGUGAAGUUGUUCUUGUUGGUGCCAAUCAUUGCCCUGGUGCUGUCCAGUUCUUGUUCAAGGUUCCGGGCAGAAAUGGCGGUUUCGAGAGGUAUGUUCACACGGGUGAUUUUCGGUUUUGUAAAACUAUGUUGUUACAGCCUGUGAUGAAUGAGUUCGCGGGUUGUGAUGCUGUCUUUUUAGACACCACUUAUUGUAAUCCGAAGUUUUUGUUUCCUUUGCAAGAAGAGAGUGUUGAGUAUGUGGUUAAUGUGGUUAAUAGGGUUGGAGGCGAGCUUAAUGAGGGUUUGCAGAAGAGGGUUCUGUUUCUUGUUGCGACAUACGUUAUUGGGAAAGAAAAGAUUUUGAUCGAAAUUUUUAAGAAAUGUGGUAGAAAAGUGUGUGUGGAUUCAAGAAAAAUGGAGGUUUUGCGGGUUUUGGGGUAUGGGGAUAGUGGUGUUUUUACAGAGGAUGAGAGUGAGACUGAUGUGCAUGUUGUUGGAUGGAAUGUGUUGGGGGAGACUUGGCCAUACUUUCGGCCGAAUUUUGUGAGAAUGAAGGAAAUUAUGGUCGAAAGAGGAUAUGAUAAGGUUGUUGGUUUUGUGCCGACGGGGUGGACUUAUGAGGUGAAGCGUAACAAGUUCGCAGUGAGGUCCAAGGACGCAUUUGAAAUUCAUCUUGUCCCAUAUAGUGAGCAUUCAAAUUAUGAUGAGCUUAGGGAGUAUGUGAAGUUUUUGAAACCCAAGCAAGUUAUACCUACGGUGGGCAUGGAUAUUGAGAAGCUUGAUAGCAAGCAUGCUAAUAAAAUGAGAAAGUAUUUUGCUGGGUUGGUUGAUGAAAUGGCUAGCAAGAAAGAAUUUUUAAUGGGUUUUCAUCGAGGGACUAGCGAAAUUGAUGAAAACGUUGAAGAGGGUGCUGGUUCAGGCUCUAAUGAGGGGCUGAGCAAAGAGGGGGAAGUAAAGUUGAAAAAAACUAAAGCCACUGAAGACAACAGUUCAUCUAUUCUUUUAGAUUCAUCAUCUCGUUUGGAAGAAUUUGGCUCAAAAGAUGUAACUGCUCUAGAUGAUGAGGAAACAGAGAAAAUGGUACAAGAAAUUCGUAACUGUUUGCCUACAUGGGUUACUCAAAACCAAAUAUUGGAUUUGAUUAGCAGCUCAGGAAGGAACAUUGUUGACGCUGUGUCUAAUUUCUAUGAACAUGAAACUCAAUUGUAUGAGCAAGUCUCUGCAUGUACGACUUUUAUAUCUACAUCCCAGACCAGCUCACUUGAUGUUUCUGCAUCCACUGCAAAACUAAAUUCCGAUAAGACCAUUUCCCAAGGAAGUGUGAAAAUUCCUUUAAGUCAGGAAUACAAGUUACCAACCAUAAAGCAUUCAAUAAAGAGCACCCUUUCUCCAAGCAAAAGGAAGAAAACUAUUACCAAUAACCCUAAGAAAAAAGGGAAAGUCCCAUCAAAAAUGGAAUCUAGUGGGGCAAAGCAGCCUACAAUUACAAGUUUCUUCAAUAAAUUGUUGCCUAACAUGUCUCAAGGGGAUGUGGUUGAAUCCAAGUCAGAGGAAUGCCCUAAAGAUGAAAAUCCUUUGCAAAGUAAUGCUAUCAAAACAUAUGGAGAGGAGAUAGAUCAGUUCUUGAAGAUAAUCAAUGGCAAUGAAUCAUUAAAAGGCUAUGCUGCCACCCUCUUAGAGAAGACAAAAGGAAAUGUUAGUAUGGCUCUAGAUCUAUAUUAUGAUAAUCAAGAGGGUGAUCAUGGUAAGACUGUAAAUAGGUUAGAAUUCUCUAAAAGUUCAGUUCAGUUCGACAAUUGUAAUAAGGAUUGUUCUUCUGCAUUGGAGAAAAUCGUUUCUGAAGAAUUGCAACAUAUAACUGAUAUGUCUGUUCAGAGACCAUCAAAAGAACUAAUGGAUCCAACUCUUGUGUCAUUACCACCUGAAAAGUACGAUCCAAUAGAGCAUGGUUUGUGUACCUUUUUCCCAAUUUUACUUUACUGAACUACUUAGUAUCAGUUUUUAAUUUUAAGAUUUCUCAAAUAAUGGAAAUCUCGCAUGACACUAAGAUCCAUACAGCAUGCUGGAGUAGUGGACAGCCUGCUCCAUAUAUCCACCUUGCACGAACUUUUGACCUGGUUGAGGCUGAAAGAGGCAAGAUAAAAGCUAUGUCCAUGUUGGGCAAUAUGUUUAGAAGGUAUAUGGUCAUACAUUCCUUAUCGUUUUCCCUUCCUCUUCAACUUGCCUUUAAACUGUGAAUGAGCAUUUUUGUUGUUUAAGUAGCUGAUUGGGCUAUAUCACCUACUUGCAAUGUUUUUUUUUAAUCACAGUUUGCUGGCCCUGUCUCCCGACGAUGUGCUACCUGCUGUGUAUUUGUGUACCAAUAAGAUUGCCUCUAACCAUGAAAACAUAGUUAGUAAAUUUCUCUCUCAUCUUUGUGAUUGCGCUGUAAUUUUUGUAUGGUUUUUCCACUGGUGUUGUUCUUUUUGUUUUUGUUAAUGCACUUCUAUCCACUGUGGAAAACAUUGUGGCUUGUUAGUUGUUAAUAAGUUUCAGUUAACUCUUGGCAUUAGUAUUGUUUUUGGUAGAAAUUCUGGAUUCAAAAUUUUUCUCUGCUGGGCUAUAUAUUUAGAAAAUGGGCGUCUGUGAUGUUAUGAUACAAUGAUGAAUCUCACUUGUACUAAGGUUAUGGUGAUCUGUACUCGGAUUAUUUAUGGUUAAACAAUAUGGAAUAUUUUGAGGCGCACAUUUUUUCCCCUGUUGUUUUCAUAGUUGUGUAUUUCUGCUGCAAAUAUAAUCUGACAUGAUUUUUUCUUCAAAUUAUGAUUACACAUUCAGCAUUUUCUAGGUGGUUCUUGUUUUAACUAUAGAUUAUAGUUUGUAAUAUUAUUGCAAAAAUGAUGCAGGAACUGAACAUUGGUGGAAGUUUGGUCACAUCAGCAAUAGAAGAGGCAUGUGGAACUAAUCGGUCUAAAAUUAGGGAUAUGUACAAUAGGUUAGGUGACCUUGGUAGGUACUGAUGAUGGUUUUAUAAUUUUUUAUCUUUUACCCAUUUUUUUAAAAAAAAAAUCCCUAAGUUUAUAAAUUUAGCUGCUAAGUAGAAAAUUAAUAUGAUCACAGGUGACGUUGCUCAAGAAUGCCGACAAACACAGGCAUUGCUUGCUCCUCCUCCUCCACUUCUUAUCAAAGAUGUAUAUUCUAUGCUUUGCAAAAUAAGGUGUGAAUUGUCCAAUCUGAUCUUUCUAGGUAGUUGGUGGAAACAUUGGUGCCUUGACUGUAUUUUUGUUGUUUUUGCCAAAGCUGCCUGAAAUAUAAAAAAGUCUCUGUAAAUUGAUGACGGUCUUUAUCAGUUUAGGAAUACUUUUAAUGGAGUCGAAUUGCACUUCUUCUUCUUCUUCCUUUUUUCUUUUUUUAUAAAAACAAAGAUUAAAAUGUAAAAAUGUAGUUAGUGAGAAUUUGUUAGUCUAGGGUUCCUUAUAUUGUCUGAGUUUAGGUGUUACAAAUAUGACGUACAAUAUAUCACAGCUUUUUUGUCAACAAUGCACAUUUUUUUUUUCAAUGCAGAUUGCUCCUUUUUUCUUUCUUUCUUUUUGUUUUUUAAUCUUAUGAUCCUUAUAAAGUGUUCAUCAGUGUACAAAUAGGUAGUGGAAGUACUGCUAGGAAGAAAAGCCUUAUUGUGAACCUCAUGUGUUCUUGUAGAGAGAAGGAGAUGAAGUUUCUGGUUAGAACUCUGGUAAGAUGCUGCAUAGCCUUUUAAAUUUAUAUACCUUUGUUGCUGAAUUCAGGUUCUUUUGCUAUUUAAGUGGCGUUGUGGAUAAAUCUGAGAUUUAUGGUGUGCUUUAGAGUUUUCAGCUAUUUGUAAAAGGGAUGGUUUUUGAAAAAUCUUUUCAUAUAGGUCAGGAAUUUACGAAUUGGAGCAAUGAUGAGAACUAUAUUGCCUGCAUUAGCUCAAGCUGUUGUUAUGAAUUCUUCUCUUGAGUUUUCCCAUGAAGGAAAAAUGGAAAAUUUGAAGGAGAAACUUCAGGUUGGAUUUCUGUCAAGAAUCAUAUGCUGAUUCUUUUGUUAUGUUGAAUCAUAUCAUAAGUUUUAGUUGUAAUUUUGAUCAAUUUUUGAAAGGGUGUUUUCUGUAACAAUUUGUUAUAUAAUAAAAGCUUUAUCCUGAACUUUUGUAUACAUUUAUGUGGGCUUACUUAUCACUUAGGUUUUUUUCUUUGGUUAUUUAUUUAAUUUGACAAAUAAACUUUCCGUUAUUUGUUAGAGUCUUUCUGCAGCGGCAGUUGAAGCUUAUAAUAUUCUUCCCAGUUUGGUAAGUUUAGUGUUCUUGGUGCUGAAGUUGUUCUUACAUCUUCCCUUUAUGCUUUAGAGGGAAGCUUUUUCAAUACUUAAUCAAACUUCUGAGGAAGAAUUAUUUGCCAUCUAUUCAUACUAUCUAAUGUAAUGUAUCCCAAUGUAACAGGAUUUGCUCAUCCCUUCUCUCAUGAAUAAAGGCAUUGGAUUUUCAUCAUCAACUUUGUCCAUGGUUCCAGGAGUACCUAUCAAGCCCAUGCUUGCAAAGUACAGAUUUUUUGUGAUUUUUGGUCAUAUAUUAUAUGUUUGGAGCUGCUAUGGAUUUACUAAUGCUUUAGCAUAUUUGUUGUUUUCUAUGUUAGAAUUACCAAUGGAGUUCCACAAGUACUAAAGCUCUUCCAAAAUAAAGCAUUUACUUGUGAAUACAAGUAAGUCCCUGUUUUAAUAGCUUCUCUCUUUUUAAGUUGUGCUUUAUACUCUCCGUUCGUUUAUUGAUACUCCCACAGACUUUUGGGUCUAUUCAGCUAAUGUUAGGCUGAAUUUUCAAUCUCCCAUACAUUUAUAUCGAUUAUAAUUUUUACUAUCAUUUUCUUUGUAUACAUGAACUUUUUACUCUCUCUUUUUUUUUUUUGGUUUUUUUUUGGGGGGGGGNNNNNNNNNNNNNNNNNNNNNNNNNNNNNNNNNNNNNNNNNNNNNNNNNNNNNNNNNNNNNNNNNNNNNNNNNNNNNNNNNNNNNNNNNNNNNNNNNNNNNNNNNNNNUUUAUAUGGAAUUGUUAAACUUGUGAACUUGAUAUAUGAAGUAUUGCUUAUUUCAUUGGCUCUUUUAUAAUUGAGAAAAUUGAGCAUGGGAGUUUGUUAUUACAUGCCUUCUUACUAUUUGUGUUUAUUCACUCAAAAUGAGUUUUGUAAGAAAAAUUGAAUGUAUCAUCACUUAUCUACUGGGUGGAUAUAUCACACCUCAUUUCCUUGUCUAUGUUAAGUUACUGUAGAUUAUUCAAAUGAUUGAUAUAUUUGUGUAAUUUCAGAUAUGAUGGUCAACGUGCCCAAAUUCACAAAUUAGUGGAUGGCACUGUGCGCAUCUUUUCACGUAAUGGGGAUGAAACAACAUCAAGAUUUCCUGAUUUAAUUAGUAUAAUUAAUGAAUUUUGUAAGCCUGCUGCGGGGACUUUCAUACUGGAUGCCGAGGUCCAAUUUCCUUGCAAUGAUGCUUGUUGAUCUUUUUCAGGAUCAGAUUUGUUUGAUUUAGGAUUCUGUUAUCUAUAAUUAAAAGGCACCUUUUGUAUGCAGGUAGUUGCAAUUGAUAGGAAGAAUGGCUGCAAAAUCAUGUCUUUCCAAGAACUAUCGUCAAGAGAGAGAGGAGGAAAAGAUUCCGUGAUCACAAUUAAGAGUGUAAAGGUUUGCUUAGUUAUUAUGUGAUUAAUAAUACUAGUAGAAGCUUUGACAAAAAUUGAACAGAUCUAUGCUUAGCUUGUGCUACAGUAAUGGGUUCUGAUUGUCUUCUGUUGCUGGUGCUGAUUGUAGUGAAUAAGCUGGUUUCUGCUCAUAUGGUGGACCUUUUUGGCUAAUAUUAUUCAAGCUUGAAUCAGUGGCAAUAUCAAUAAUUCCGUGAUUUUUUUUUCGAUUUUUCUUUUAAUAAAAGACAAGACUUGAAUUUAGGUUACUAAUAUUAGGGGUUUACAGAAAAUGAAAAAGCUUUCUGCAAAAUCUAGGAUCAGCCUAUAAAGGGAUGCGUAUUUAAAUUAGGUGGUGGAAUCUAUAUGAUGGGUAUUUCAAUUUGCAGUGGUGUUGAUGGUUUCCCUUUCCAUUUUCAGUUUAUUCAUCCUCUGCAUCUGCACAAUUGUCUACUUUGGAUUUGAUAUCAAUGUCAUUUAUACUUUGAAAUUGAAUGUAUGGCUAUUUAAAUGUGCUGCAAUUUUAUGAUUCUUCUUUUUCAUUUUGGAUUUUUUUAACCUGUGCAGGUCGAUAUUUGUGUAUUUGUCUUUGAUAUCAUGUUUGCCAAUGGAGAGCAGUAACUAUCUCGAACCUUUUUUCAGUUUCCUUGGAACCACUGGUUUUUUACUGCUGAUAGACACAGAUGCACACAAACUUACAAGGAGAAACAAAUGCAUUGUUUAUUUGACACUAUAACCUAUAAAUGCAUUGUUUAUUUGACACUAUAACCUAUCUAAAAUCUUUGACACUGGAUUUGAGAAUGUUUGUUACUAUUGUAGUUAGUUUUUAAUGUCUUCAUGAGGAACUCCUCAUAUGUUCUUGGUAGUAAGAUGUUUGAUCAUGCAAUCAUUACAACUUCAAAAUUACAUGAAAAGAAUGUACUUCCAUGGAAGUUAUAAGUAAAUGUUUGAACUCCAUUGUGAUGGGGUCAGCCAGCUGCACGUCCAUGUGAUGGGGUCAGCCAGCUGCACGUCCAUUUUUCUUGUACUGGUGAAUGCGUGUCUUUUUAGCUCACAAAAUCCUACUGUCUAAAGAGAAUUCAAGAUCAGUUUUUUGUCUAAAAGAUUCAACCUUACUCUGGAUAUAAUUUCCACUCUUAAUCUGGCACCAGUUAUGUCAAUCAUUAUAAUUCUAGAGUCAUUAUUCCUUAAUUAGUUUCUAAGCUCUUUGAAUAGCAUUUACUGCAAGGCUUUUGAGAAUCAAUCUCAUGCUGUACACAUUUAUUUUGGCUGUGUUUUUAUUAUUUUUAUGCAAUUGGUUGCUUAUUUGUAAGUACUAGAAGGCUGCUUAUAAAAUUUUCUUUUUACAGGCUGUUGGGUUAUACCCUCCGUCAGAGACGAAAAUGUAUGUGUAUCUUGUUUCUUUUCUAUUCUCGUACAAGACAGUGACUGCUUUUUCCUGUAAGGCCGUACAGCAGCCCCCCUCCUCCUUUUUUUUUGCAUCCAAAAUGCAGACUUGAAAGAUUUGUUCUAUGAUGAGAAAAUGGGGUACUUUCAGUAUGCAAAGGAAAUGACUGUAAGUGCUUUUGUCUUACCUUUGACCUCAUCCAUAUUUGUGUUAUUAGUGUUUGAUACAGUAAUCUGAUUUACAGGUGGAAGGUGAUGAUAAUUGUUUGACGAGUGAUGUCUCUCUAAGCAAGAUAAAUAAUUUUCUUGAAGAGGCACUCCACUCCUCAUGUGAAGGGAUUAUCGUUAAAUCGUUAGAUGUUGAUGCUGGAUAUUCUCCAUCAAAGCGUAGUGACUCAUGGUUAAAGGUUUUAUGUGAUAUGUAUCUGCAUAUUUGGUUCUUUUACUAGUUGGGGAUACUAAAACCUAAAUACCCCCCACCCUCCCAAAAAAAAAAAAAAAGAGCACCGAUUGAGACUGAUAUUGUCUUUGCAGGUGAAGCGAGAUUAUGUGGAAGGAUUAAAUGACUCGCUUGAUCUAGUCCCUAUUGGUGCUUGGCAUGGCAAUGGGAGGAAAGCUGGAUGGUAAAUGUCUCAUUUUUUCUCCCUUUUCUUACCGAGCCACUGGCUGGUUAAUUGAUCACUUUUUGUCUCCCAUGUCCACAAAAUUUGAAUUUGGUUGGGCUGUAGGUAUCUAUUAUAGGGCUGUUCAAAAUAGUUUGGUGAGUAGAGAAUGCAUGUUAUGUCAUCUAUCUGUAUGAAGACAAAGCUAUAUGAAUCUUUCAUAUGUUGAUGCUAACUAUUCUUCAAUUCAUACUGCAGGUACAGUCCAUUCCUCAUGGCAUGUUACAAUCCCGAGACUGAGGAAUAUCAAAGCGUAUGCCGUGUCAUGUCUGGGUUCUCAGAUUCCUUUUACAUAGAGGUAAGAUUUGGAUGUUAGUUGUGCACAUGAUAGAAAGUGCUUACCCUUGUCAAAAAGGUCAUGGCGACUCCUCUAAGACUUGAUUAGUCUGCUUGAAAGUAAUUAUUGGUUUCUUAGAUAGAGUUUGUCUUUUCCGUAUCUUGUCAAAUAGAGAAGCAAAGGGGUCCUGACAAUUUGCACAAAUUUGUCUUCUCUUAGAACAAAGUUAAUUGGUGAUUCAUGCAGGAUUCAAAAUUGCUAGCGUGAAUUUCAAAUCUCUCCAUUACCGAGUACCUUAAAAAUUGCCUCGCCAGAGACCAGUCCUAGUGAUGAACUGAAGAUGUCCCCCUUAGUCGUCAAUAGAUAACUAUAUCUGGGAAGAUUUUCACGGUGCAUGUUGUUACCUAAGGUUAAUUCUUCUGCAGUAGUUAGAAGGAAGCAAACAAAGUUUUCUUUUCUGGGUUGCUGACCUGGAGAAUUUACACAUUUAUUCUUCAACCCUGAAAAUUAACACCAACAUUUUGAUUUGGUGAUGUAAGCCUCACUUUAGAUCUUGUUUGUUGGAAUCUUCUUCUGUAGCUUGCUUUCCCAAAAAGAACCAGAGCUCUAGUUAUGAUUAUGAAGGCUUAUUUAAGUUCUUUUAGCGAAUUUUUAAUGGGUUUGACAUGUAUGUCUGGCAAUUAUGGAAGUGGUGUAGUAGUGCAUCUUGUUAAUUUAUAAUAGCUGCCGUUUCCACACUGACUUUCAGAUGAAGGAAUUCUUUUCUGGGGAUAAGAUCUUAUUGAAAAAGCCGUCUUACUAUCGAACAGCUGAGGUUCCAGAUAUGUGGUUUUCUCCAGAAGUUGUUUGGGAAAUAAGAGGUGCAGACUUUACAAUAUCACCGGUUCACCAGGCUGCUAUAGGUUUGGUUCAUCCGAGCCGUGGCAUCUCAAUCAGAUUUCCUAGGUUUAUACGCCUUGUAUCUGACAGAAAUCCAGAUGAAUGUAGCACUGCUGCAGAUAUAGCUGAAAUGUUUCACUCUCAAACCCGGAAGAUGGACGUGACAGCCAAAGAUUGAAUAUUAUUAGAAGUUGGGUUGUCCCACAAACAUUUCCUUUUGCACAAGUUCUCCGCCCCUCUUCUUUUUCUCUCUUUUCUGUACAUGAUUUGCUGGGUUGGUUGGUUAAUCUCUUUUUGUGCCCUUGUAUAUUAGAAUCUGAUGGAAUGAGCGGCCAAUCUAUUAAAUUAUAAAAUUAUAAACCCCUAAUGGGUAGUACAACUUCAGUGCAUUGCGUGGGGCUUUGUUUGAUGUCCGUAACUUAAAAAUUUAGCAUGCUAAAAUAUCUAAUAAACACUAAAUGAUUUGAUUUAAAAAUUAAAUUUAAUAUUGAUUUAAUUGAUUUGAUUUAUUAUAAUAUUUUUAUUAUUUUUAAUAUAUAUAUAUGAAUGAUAGACAAUGAAUAUUAAUUUAAUUCCUCGUUUGCCUAAAAUAAAAUGAGGACGCUUUCAUUUGGUAGGAAAUUCAACCCUCAAACCAAACAUGCCCUUGGGAACCUUUCUGAUUUCAGACCUAAAUUAGAAGUUGAUUGAAUUUUAAACCCUUUACAAGUCUUCCCCACUCGUAGAAACCGUUUGUUCAAUCUCCCGCCAAAUCUCUACACAAAAAUCUGCUUUCAAAAGAAAAAAAAAAAAAAAAAAACCAAAACUUUUUUUCAUCUGUUGUCUGCUUUACGUUGCAACUUUCACCUCUUUAAUUUAGGGUUCUAAUUUCAAAAUCCCAUUACCCCAAAAUAUUUUUUUUUCUAAAAAAGAAACCUGCUAGCCGUAACUAAAUCUUUGUCUCUUUGCUUCCGUUUUAGGGUUCGAUGAAGGUUCUGGAAUCUAGGAAUUGGUUGACUUUUAUAUGAAAUUUUAAUGAUAUUCGAGACAAUGAGUACUGUGAACAUUGCGAAUGUGACCGUUUUGGAUAAUCCGGCGCCGUUUUUGUCUCCGUUUCAAUUUGAGAUCUCGUACGAGUGCGUUACUCCUCUCAAAGACGGUAAUCAAUUUUCACUCUCCGUUUUGUUUUCGGUUGAUUUAGGGUUUGCAUAUCAAUUUAUUUAAAAAAGAAAAAUUAAACUUUUACAAGCGGGAGAAAGUGACUGUACAAGCAGAUAAGUAGCUUUAUUAGUCUUCUUCAAAUGAUCUUUGUUCUGUUUGCCGUAAAUGUAUUAUUUCUUAAAUCAAUUGCACGACAUUUAUUGUGUAAUCAUAAUGCAGAUUUGGAGUGGAAACUUAUUUAUGUGGGUUCUGCUGAGGAUGAGACUUACGAUCAAUUAUUGGAAAGUGUACUCGUUGGGCCUGUCAAAAUUGGAAAUUAUCGCUUUGUGUUACAGGCAAUUUUAAUUGACUUAUUUUUAAACCAGAAAAAUAAAAUUAUAAACCAGGAUUGUUGAUUUUCUGUGGACUAAGACCUCAUCUGUACUCUUUCUUGUGGUGCAUGCUUUUGCAGGCUGACCCACCACACCGAUCAAAGAUUCGGGAAGAAGACAUUAUUGGUGUGACAGUGCUUCUGUUGACUUGCUCUUACCUUGGUCAGGAGUUUGUUCGAGUGGGCUACUAUGUAAACAAUGAUUAUGGUGAUGAGCAGCUGAGAGAGGAACCUCCCCAAAAAGUUUUGAUUGAUACGGUCCAAAGGAACAUUUUGUCUGAUAAACCUAGGGUCACAAAGUUCCCCAUCAAUUUUCAUCCUGAGCACGCCGAAAGUAGUGAAGAACCCCCUCCUCCUCAUCAUCCUGCUGAAGUUGAUCCACACGAAGAUGACUCAUCAUCUCCACCUGAUCAUCUUUUGGACAAUCAAGAACCUUAACUUAGAGACUGCGGGGACUACCUGCUUCCACACCACCUGAUUUAUCAUUCAUGUCCCAAUGGCACGGUAGAUAUCUCAGCAAUAGAUUAACUUUUUCAUCUUUCCAAGAAUUAGCUGGAGCUUUUGGAGGAACUGAUGCCUGAUAGAUAGUCAAUCUGGGUGACAUAUUGGUGUCAAAACGCUGUCGAAAUAGAAUUAGUGGAUUAGUCUAUAUUACAUUUCAGGCUGUACCAAUCUCAAAGGCACAAUCUGUCUCAUACUUUACCUUGCCAAUGCUAAUUUUUUAUGUUAUUUAUUUAUCCUGAUUCUUUCUUCAUGAAUUAGGUAUAGAGAUUAGUAACUUGACAGAAGUCUGUAAUGCCUCUUCAGUGCCACCAAUUAUAUAGAAUGGUACACAAACUCUUGCUGAUCAUGAAAAAAAUCUACUGAAUUCUGGAUCAAGAAUGCGAGCUACUGGAAGCACAAUACAACCCUAUAUCCAAAAACUGAAAGAAGAAUUGCAAAAUAAAUUAUCUCGGCAAUCACUUCCAACUUCCAACAUCAAGGAUGAGAUGAGUUUGGUAGCUCUGCAAAAACUACCAACAGAAACUAUUGGGGAAUUACUACACUUCAUUCCUCGGUCCCAAUUUAUCCACUCUUCACUUCUCACUUUUAUGUCUUUUCUUGGCAGGGCCCUGGGUCAAUUGCUUUGCAUUUUUCUUGAUCGAGUCUUCAUGCACUUUCUGUAAUAGGUGACAAGGAAUUAUAAUUAAUUAAUUACUGUAUAUGAAAACCCAUGAACAUGCAAUUAUAAUGGCAACGUUCAAAUUACCUCUUUCCUUGACAAGUUCCUCUUCCCCUGCCGUCUUUUGUUCUUCGAUUUGGGUUUGUCCUGGUACACAGUUGGAGGAGUUAGCAUAAAUACAAAAAUAAUAUAAAUUCAGUAGCUUGGGAGUCCCAGAUCCCAAACAGAAGUAAGUACUUAUAAUACAAAAAUAAACCUGUGAAAGAGCUAUAAUUCUAGCAUUCAUCUCUGCAGCUGUCUCCUGGUUCUCAAUUUCACCAUCAUCGUUGAGUAUGGCCUUCAACCUGUUUUCCUUCAGUAAUUUCUCAGACCGAACAUGUCUCUACAACAAUAAAGACAUUUCGUUAGGGGGUCAAGUACCAGCACGGUUCUCGUCCUCAUAUAAAUCAAUUUGAAGGUAAUAGCAUAAACAAUGGUAGGAUGGGGAAUCAAUGUAGGUUCACUACUCAUUGGUUUUUUUUUUUUUUUCCUUCUGCUAUAAAAACCGUUGAAGAACACUCCAGUUACAAGCCAAGCAAGGAUUUAUUUACCAGAACAAGUAUACUGGUUAAAGCUCCAAAUAGAUUACGGGUGCAUUUAGGAUUGAGGUGCUGUACCUUUUAAGCUACAGCUGCUGUGGCAAAAAAACUGUAACUAUGAAACAAAAAUUUGUAAUAUAUAGUAAAUGUAAAUUUUAACUAAUAAUGUUAACAUAAUUAUUAAAGAUAUAGUAGAUUUUCCAUUAUAUAAGUGAAAAAUCAUAUCAACAUAGCUUCCAAGUUACAGCAGCUAGUGUUUAUCAAACACUUUAGUGUUGUAACUUUUAAGCUACAACUGUCCAACCUCAAUCCCAAACGCACCCUAUAUUGACUGACCAAAUUCCAAGUGCCAUAAGACAAAUUUCAGAACAUAUAAAGGGAGAGAAAAAUCAGGUUAUGUUAAACAAACUACAACAUACAUCCUUGUGUAUAUAAAUAAAAAGGCAGUAGAGACCACAUCAUCCCUCAGUCUUAGCAAAUCUAACUAUAUUACCGUGGAUAAAGUUAAUAAAAUAAUCCAAUAAACCAAACUAAGCAGAUUAUCCUUAAAAAAAAUAAGAAAAUAAAAAAACUAAUGAAACUAAAAAUCUCAAACAUCUGCUAGGAGAGAGUAUAUUAUCCUUUACUAUAAAACAAUAAAUAACAAAAGCAGCAUGCAGGAUCCUUUUUCUCUCAUGCUCUCAACAUGCCAUGCUUUACCUUGGAAUUAAGAUGAGCCCUAAUGGUUUCCUCAUUCAAACAGAGGAUUCUUGGGCAUAUUCUGCAUCUGAAAAUCGACUUGAUUUGUAGUACACAAUCUGGAAAAUCAGCUGGCAUGGAUGCCUUUUCUGCUGUGGUUUCAGACUCUAUCUCAUUAGCACCACAUUUACCACGAAGCUGAUUACUUACAAAGAGUUGUCUGUCAUUUCCAAUUUCAUCAUCAUCUUCAUUUAUGAGACCUGCCUCAUCACAAUAAUAUCAAACAUCUAAGAAACAGAAACAACAAAAAACCCCAUUUCUGAGAAGGCAAUUGAAAGAAGAUUGAAGUAUUAUUCAUUCUUAAAAAAAGAAAACAUCUCAGACUAACACACUGGACAAGAAAUACAGGAAAACAAAUUUACAUGGUGCAAAAAUAUGUUAGACAUGGACUAAUAGGAACAACAACUAUUCCUAGAAGACUAAACAAAACCGUGUUGAAAAGAAAGGAAAGAGUGUCAAAUCAAAGGGAAAAAAUUCAAACCUUUAUUUUGCCACAAGUUAAAGCCAUUACUAGCAAAUUAAUAAAGGAUUUGAACAAGAUUGCACAAGACUUAUACUCCUAAUGUUAGCAUCUCCAUAUAAAUCUUGUUACCAUCAAACUUAAAAUAUAACAAGAAACUUUCUGCGUCAUCCUACUAGAAUUAUUUUAAUAUCAAUCGGUUGAGUCAAUUUGUAUGAACCCAGAAAAUACCUAAAAUUGACACAAUUAUCCUCCAAAAUACACUGAUCUAAGCAAUUAGAUAAACUGCCUCUCAGUAUUAUAAACAGUAAAUAGAACAUCCUACCUGGUGAGGCAACAUUCAUCUCUUCUGCUGAGCUAUCCUCACUCUCAUAUCCUGUAAUGUCCAAAUCAAAAUGGAAAAGAAAAGACAAAACCAGUGAGCUUCUCAAAGAAUUCCAAUGUAAUUAACACAACAAAAAAAUUCUCUGAUUUUCUAUCCCUCGGAGCCAAAAGUCCAGAAAGUUAAAACAGAAUAAAAAGCAAUAAUGACAUGAUUUACUCUACAGCAGUUGACUUGCAAAUGACACAGGAGAGAACACUUUGAUAACAAAGGCAUUAACCAAAAUAACAUGUUGCAAAAUCCAUAACGAAGGCAAAAUAAGAGCAUAACCCAAAGCUGGAAACACCCUCAAAUAAUACUUUUAGAGAAAGAGUAAAGAACAACGAACAGACCAGAAGAAUUCAAGCAAGCUUGACCAUUUUCUUUAACUUGUUCAACUGCCUCGUCUUCAGAUUCUUCUGAGGCUUGUGGUUCUAGUUCUGAGUCCGAAUCAGACGAAGACGAAUCCGCAGCAUCAUCUCUAUCACCAUGUUCUGCUCUGUAGAAUCGUCUCUUUAUCAUGUCUGGUCUUCUAACAAGCUACAAAGAUAGAAUUUAUAAGUAAUUAAGUUCACUUUAUUUUAAGGCCAAAUAAGUUUUAAGUAAAAUUUUCAUUAACACAAUUUCAAUCCCAGCCACAGUAUUGUUCGUCUUCAAUCAUAUAAUACAGUUACAGAGCUUAAGUCACGAAUAGCUCAUACAAAAGAACAGAUAAUAAUAAUAAUAAUAAUAAUAAUAACAAAAGCGAAAGCUUAAAUUUAAAUAAAUAAAUAAAUAACGAAGAUAGAUAAAUUGAUGUUGCAAUAAUGCAUAAUAUUUAUAUAAAAAAAAUUUGAAUUCGUGGAGAAAUAAAAAGCUUACCAAAGCAAAGAAGCGAAGGCGAAGGCGCAGCCGCAGUAAGCUGAGUGGAGAGCAAGAAGAAGAGAGGUUUUGGGUUUUACUGUUGCUAUUGCCAGCCGCCCACCAAAGGAGAACGACAAAAAUAGCUUUGGGUUAGUCUUUGGGCCAUGGGCUAUAAAUGUGAUUUGGGCCCAUCUUUAAACAAGCCCAACUUGAUUAGGGGAUGAUCUUGAAAAAUCGCAACAAAACUGUGCGUUUCUACCUCUAAUAAUUGUGAUUACAGGACGAAAUACAUUGUUUGAGACUUGAAAUCUGCAUAUAGUUAAGCCUUAGUUCUUGUUAAUUUUCUGCAGUCUUGGCCCGUGGCUAAAGAUUUGAACUUAGCCAGGAAUCCGCAACAAAUUGAUUCGAGUAAGUUUGAAACAAACUGGUGCGAUAUCAGAGUCCCUUGGUGGGAGCAAUCGUAAAUUCGAAGAAUAUAUCAAUCAUAACAUGAUCACCCUUGUCUACAGAAGCUCUAAUGCCAUUAUAAAAUCAUAAUGAAAGAUUGUGGAAGACGGAUUGUCAGUCCUACAGUAGAUUGUUUAAUAGAUUCAUUUUCUCCGCAAACAAAAAUUGGACCAAAAAGUUCAUGAUUAUUUGAUGUUCAAUAUAUGCAUUUCACCGAAUUUAAGACCAUUGUGUGAGAUUGAUCUCAGUCGAAUUACUCUUUGAUUCUGAAAGCAGAUAUUUUCUGCGGUUUCAAAGGUGAUCAAAGCAAGUUCAAGGCAUCUUUAAUUAAUGAUGUGACCGGAAUGCUAAGUUCGUAUGACGCUGCACAUCGUGGCAUUCGCGGGGAAAGAUAUUCUGGAUGAAGCCCUAGCUUUUACUGCUUCUCACCUGGAAUCAAUGGUUACAAAGUAGGCCCUCAGCUUUCUGACGAAAUACUUCAUGCAUUGAAUAGGCCAAUCCGCAGAGGCUUACCAAGGCUAGAGGCAAUGUAUCACAUCGAGCUCUAUUCACGGGAUGAUUCAAAGCAUAAAGCAUUACUAAAGUUUGCAAAACUAGAUUUAAGCAUCAUCACAGAGUGGUGGAAACAUUUAGACGUUGAAACAAAUCUGCCAUAUGCUAGAAACAGCGUUGUAGAAAGCUAUUUUGAGUGUAAUUGCAAUGGCAUCCAUUUUAGAUUAUAGCUACGACGCCUAUAGUAUACUUGAAGAAUUUGAGGUCUUUGCAAAUGCUAUCAAAAGGUGGGAUAUUAGCAAUAGAGAUGUACUUCUGAAGUGCAUCAAACUGAUUUAACAGGGAUUCUUGGAUGAUUUUGGUGAAGCUGAGGAGCAAAUUUCAAAGGAAGGACGGACAGAUUGCAUAUCAUAUGUAAUAGAAGUGGGGAAGAAACUAGUCCAAAAGUGGUGCAAUGAAGGUUAUUUUCCAAAAGUGGAGGAGUAUAUGCAAGUUUCACUUGUGACAACUUGCUAGCAUAUGCUGGGAACGGCGUCUUUUUCUUGGCAUGGGAGAGAUUGCUAACGAGGAAGCCUUUGAUUGGAUCUCCAAUUAGCCUAAAAUUGUUAAAGCAUCCGAAGUUAUGUGUAGACUUACGGAUAAUAUAGUGUCUCAUGAGUUUGAACAGAGUAGUCUCGGAUAUCUAAUAUUACUUCAUGCAACAUGGCAAUAAAGAGGUGAUUAAGGUUUCGUUUGGAAUUGAGGUACUGUAACUUUUAAGUUACAGCUGCUAUAGAAAAAAAAAACUGUAACUAUCAAAUAAAAAUUAAUAAUAUGUAGUAAAUAUAAAUUUUAAAUAAUAAUUUUGACAAAUUUAUUAAAGAUAUAAUAGAUUUUUCAUUAUACAAAUGAAAAAUUAUAUCAACAUAGCUUACAAGCUACAACAAUUAGUGUUUAUCAAACACUUUAGUACUGUAUCUUUUAAGCUACAGCUGUCCAAUAAAAAAAUAUCAAAUGGAUGAAAAGAUAUAAAUGAAGGAUUCCUAAACCAACAGAAGUGGCAGUGCCUUUCUUUAAGCGCAUUCUCAAUCUUGCACGAGUGACUGAUGUUACUUACAAGGAUGAUAAUGGCUACACCAAUUCUUAUGUGAUCAAAGACUAUAUCACCCACUGCUUGAGAAGCCUGUUCUCUUUUGAGUAGUUUUUGCGAUGCAGAUUACAUCCUAUAAAAACUAUUAAUGUUGUCUUUUGGAAUAAGCUCUGAAAUUUGUUCCUCAUAGAGCUUUUUUGCUGCUGUCAUCACAAUUAUCAAAUUCUUCCGUACAAUUAGUAAAGGCUUCCCUAUAUAUAUAUAUAUAUAAAUAAAAGAAAUCACCCAACAUCAGUGUUGUUUAACUGAAAAAGGAAAUUCAAGCAUCCAAAAUCAAAAUAUCCAAAAUGAAAAUAAGGUACCUAAUACUUGAAAGAAAGGGAUAUUCAAUACCCGUUUCAAAUCGUGCAUAAUCAUCUAGCAUGGCUCUCAUUGUCCCUCUGCAGCGCCGACUUUUUCCAUUAUUUUCUGCCCUUCUUCACCUUCGUCAUGAACCGAUCAAGACCGAAUGGAUCAGCUUCUUCAGCCUCCUUCUCAAACUUAACCGGUCCGUCCCUCGUACCAGACCUCUCAGAUGUACCAGACCUCUCAGAUGUACCUGCAAAUGCCUUGUCGGGUUUAAACCGAUCAGUCUUUCUAAUCUUCUCCAACUGCUCAUCCGCAUUUGCUCCAUAAAUUUCAGCAUCAACAUCUUUUUUGGGCCUGUAAAGGGUUGAAAGAGUCGGCUGUGCUGUAAACAAGCCUUUGUCAUAGACAUUAUACUGAUCAUCGUCAGUGGCAAAACCAGAGUCCAUUCCUUUCUUCUGAUUAAAAAGCCUUGCGUCAUAAGUAACCUCACCCGCUCUGCCUCCUCCACCAAUAGAGGCCAUCCCAAGGGCAACUUUCUCGCUAACAUCCCGAUCUCUGUCUCUAACAAUCUUACUAUUCUUCUUCCCCAUACCAACAUCCUUGGCCAGCAAAUUUCUCUCCCUCUUCCUCUCGCGACGUCUCUCCUCACGAAUUCUCUCCCUCUCCCUUUCCCUCUCCCUCAGCAAUCCCUGCUCGCUUUCCUUCAAUGUCUCCAUUGCCUUACGUGCUAAAUCCCGUAGCUGCUGCUCUUUCCUUUCCUUCUCCUUCGUGAGCAUCUCCAUCUGCACCUUGAAUCUUAUUUCAAUGGCCUCCCUCGCCUUCUGCUCUGCCAAAUAAAGAGCCUCCGACAAUUUAGCAAAUCCCUCAUUUAUCUGAACCUGCAGAAGCCCUCUUCCUUCGGCAGCGAGCCGCUUAUCCAGCGGAAUUGUAAACCGCUGUGGGUUCUUCCAAUUUGAUAUACAUGGUGGGAUUCUCCAAUCCAGCUGAUCUUUCACAGUCACCGGCCUAGGAGGGGAAUGCAUGACCGGUACUGGCAGAGAUCCCGAACCUUUCGGCACACGCUUGUGCUUCAACUUUGGUGGCUCAAGUGGGUCCAAAGGCAUCGCCACCACUCUUAAAAUCCUCCUUUUAGCCCCAGAAUAGAAGUCCACCGAUUUCUGUGAUGGUCUGUACAUAAUAAACUUGGACUCUAAUGACUGCGUAGGUGCAGCAUUCACAACACUGUUAACAAUCUUUUCAAGUUCAGCUUUUGUUACAGGAGUAGUCACGUCAAUCUCAUCUUCUUGAUCAGGAAAAGCGCCACCAUCAUCAUCAUCGAAAUCCUCAAGUUUCCGAGGAAGUAUCGCCAUGUUACAAAGAUUUCUUGCUUGUCAAUCAAGCUUGUGAUUAGUCCCAAGCAAUUUAAGGGUUCCUCAAGGGCUGAAAAAGAAUCUUGUGUUUUUUGUUAUCGUACACAACCAGCAAAUUUCUCUCCCAGUAGCGGCGCCUCCGUUUUGCGAUUUGCUAAUACUAUGCUAGCUUGCUAACUUGUAGCGGAGGUAAUCUCACUAAUGCUAAAACUAGAUAUCCUUAUGUAAAAACUUUAAACACAAAAAAAGUGCUCGUUUUGAAAAAUUAUUUGAGAUUACAACCUUAUUUAUUAGUUUUAAUUAUUGCUCAAAAAAGCUAUUACAAUAAUUGAAAUCCUAGUCAAAACUAAACUAAUAAAAAAAACUAAUUAAUAUGGCAACAAAUAAGACAAAUCCUAAACAAAUUAGAAAUACCAAUUGAAAAGAGGAAAAUUUCGGAUUAGAACAAAAAGAAAGGGCAAUAGUCUUUAUCCGUAUCCGUAGAAAAUAAGGAAAAUUUUUAUGUAGAUAAUAAAGACUUGCCCACGGUAGUGUCCUAAGAAAGUAAGGAAAACCAAUCUAUAUAAAGAGACUUGCCUGUGCUUGUCGAAAAGCACUAUACCUUCUUCUUUUAAUUAGCCUGCUAGCUAGCUCCUUAGUAAUCAGUCCCAAAUUUCCAGCUUUCUUAACUUCUUCUCCGUUACCUUAUUCAUCAUCUUCAUUAAAACAAGAAAACAGGAGAAAAAAAAUGCCUGCUGUUUCAGGAAUUGAUAAGGGUAAUGGCAGAGUGUACCCUGGAUACCUUACCCCAUUCGUCGCAAUCACAUGUAUCGUUGCUGCCAUGGGUGGCCUCAUCUUUGGUUACGAUAUUGGGAUUUCUGGUAAAUAUAUUUAUACUUACAUACAUAUUAACUAGCUAAUUAAGUACUAUAGUAUUGUGAAUUAUGAGUUAUGCUGACGGUUUAAUCAAAAUAUUAAUCUAGCUAACUGCAUAAAUAAUAUAACGCAGGUGGUGUGACCUCAAUGCCUUCGUUUUUGAAGAGUUUUUUCCCAUCGGUGUACGAGAAGCAACAAGCAAACUCGUCAGCGAAUCAGUACUGUCAAUAUAACAGCGAGUCGUUGACUUUGUUCACGUCUUCGCUAUACUUGGCUGCUUUGAUAGCAUCGCUUGUAGCAUCAUCGGUGACAAGAAAAUUCGGAAGAAAGUGGUCGAUGUUAUUCGGUGGGGUUCUGUUUCUUGCUGGUGCAUUAAUCAAUGGCUUGGCCCAAGACGUUUGGAUGCUUAUUGUUGGCCGUCUUUUGCUCGGUUUCGGUAUCGGCUUCGCUAAUCAGUCUGUGCCACUCUACCUCUCUGAGAUGGCUCCCUCUAAAUACAGAGGAGCCUUGAACAUUGGGUUUCAAUUGUCAAUCACCGUUGGAAUUUUAGUGGCCAACGUGUUGAAUUUUUUCGUUGCUAAGAUUAAGGGUGGCUGGGGAUGGCGUUUGAGCUUAGGUGGUGCCAUGGUCCCUGCCCUUAUCAUCACCGUCGGUUCAGUUUUCCUCCCGGACACACCAAAUUCAAUGAUUGAACGCGGCCAGCACGAUGAAGCCAGAAAGCAACUUAGAAAAGUUCGCGGUGUUAAUGAUGUUGACGGAGAAUUUAAUGAUCUUGUUGCAGCCAGUGAAGCAUCCAAGCAAGUUGAACAUCCUUGGAGGAAUUUGUUGAGAAGGAAAUAUAGGCCUCACCUUACCAUGGCUGUUCUGAUUCCCUUCUUCCAGCAAUUCACUGGCAUUAAUGUUAUCAUGUUUUACGCUCCUGUUUUGUUCGACACAAUUGGUUUCGGCAAUGAUGCAUCACUCAUGUCCGCUGUGAUCACCGGUCUAGUCAAUGUUUCCGCAACAUUUGUAUCAAUUUGUACUGUCGACAAGUGGGGAAGAAGACGUCUUUUCCUUGAAGGUGGUGCUCAAAUGUUAAUCUGCCAGGCCGUUGUUGCUGCUUGCAUCGGUUAUAAAUUUGGAGUUGAUGGGAAUCCUGGAGAGUUGCCCAAGUGGUAUGCCUUUGUGGUCGUAAUUUUCAUCUGCAUAUACGUUGCCGCGUUUGCCUGGUCUUGGGGUCCUCUUGGAUGGUUGGUGCCCAGUGAAAUUUUCCCACUCGAAAUCCGGUCAGCAGCACAGAGCGUGAAUGUUUCUGUGAACAUGGCAUUCACAUUCUUGGUUGCACAAGUAUUCUUAAACAUGCUUUGCCAUCUCAAGUUUGGCCUGUUCAUUUUCUUCGCAUUCUUCGUCGUGCUGAUGACCAUUUUUAUCUACUUCUUCUUGCCCGAGACUAAAGGAAUUCCAAUCGAAGAAAUGGGUCAAGUGUGGAAGAACCAUUGGUUCUGGUCCCGUUAUGUUGGCCAAGAUGAUUUCCUCGCCAAUGGAGGCCUGGAGAUGCACAAAGAAGAAACUGCUGUCAACAAUGUCUGAUCUGCAUGCUCAACUCCAUCCGGAUUUUUGUUUAGUUUCUAUUUUUAUUUUUUAUAUUUUUUAACAGUAAGUAGUAGUAGUACAGUUAUUCUGUCGGUUUAUUAUUCUAGCCUUAUCAAUGCCUUUUCUAUUCGACUUUAGUAGUGUUUAUUACAAUUUCUAAAGAAAUUAAUUUCAUGUAAGUUUUUACUUUAAUCAUUUUCCUUGUUUGGGUUCUCUGUUUUUCCUUUUUUUUUUUUUUUAUUCAUCAGAAAUCGUCACUCUUACAAUUUGGACCAAGAAAUUCUUCACACAGGAAUCUGAAGAAAAAUUAACAAGGAUUGAAAACAUGACUGAAACUUGAUGUGAAACUGUGAAAACUUGGAGAGUUACACGUUGGUAUUAUUAUUCUUUAACUGAACGAUGCCUGUCCACGUAAGUGCUCAUGUACGACCAAAAAAUCCGUGGUUUUGCAAUUUAUCACAUGCCCUUUCACUUGUUCAUAUUUGAACAAUACACCAAACCUUUUAGCUUUAUUCCACAUUUUUACUCUAAGAGUCAACCGUUUGUUCAAUAGUUCUCAUGAUAUAAAAACUUACAAAAUUAUUAAAAUACAUUUUUUGCUGCUCAAUAUUUUUAUGAACUGGUCAACUAAUAAUUUUUUUUUAAAAAUACCCACGUGGUUGCCAUAUUACGAGAGCAUAAAGCAGAAUUUGCAGCAGGCUUCGACAGAAGUCUGAGGGUCUUGGCCUAUUGAUAUUCGUACUUUGUCCAUGAAUAUCCAAAGAACAGAUAUUGGGAUACAGAUUGAAAUGCAAAAGAAUAUGGCAGAGUAAGUAUAGGUUCCAGUUUUAUGGUAUUGCUCUGCUCCAUAUGCUUGUCCACAAAGAGUCUCUAAUGCACAGGUGAAACCGAACUGCUCAAGAUUUAAAGGUACUUUGCACAUUAGCAUGGAAAAUAUGGAGUAAACUAACAAGAUCAGUUAGAAUAUUGCUUGUUCAAUGAUCGAGCUCGAAAAGUAACUCAAAAUUUCUUAGUAUCUUAAAAGUGGUAACUGAUUAAUUCUUCACCAAUAAUUGAUCAAAGUUAAUUAAUUUGUUGAUCUUGGCCGAGGCAUAAUAGACGUGUUUGGUACUCACACCUGUGAAAGGCAAGCUAAAGCAAAGUUUCAGAGCUGAUUGCCCAUUACAGAUAAAUUUUACUAGUGACCAGUUAGAGUUGAUAGCACAUUGUUAGGUGUUUGAUAGAAGUUCAAGCGAGCACGGGCAAAUUGUUAGGAUGCAAUAACAGAAAAGACAUACAAGGCAGGGUCAUUAGACUAAUUAAACCCAGCAUGCUUUGACGUGGAGAAGAAAAUGAAAAGAAAUAAAAAAUAAAAAAGUAAAGCAGCUUUAAUGAUGAAAAACAAAAGGGAAUAAAGAAAAUAUUACUAGUGGAAUGAAGCCUACCAAAAUUCACUGGUAUAUAAUUAGCUGCCUGAUGUUAGCACUGCCAAUUCUACACAGAUUUGUUGUUGUUUUGUAUCUGUGGCUAAUUUAAUUUCACAUGUUAGUGACAUUGAGAUAUUUCUGUCAAGACUCAUCGCUGCGGAACUUGAAAAGCAGUGUGUAAAAAUACAUUUUAAAAGAAAUUUGCUGCAAUUAAUGCAAUAAUGUCAUUGUGGAAUCCAGCUUGUAGCUGUCAUCUAAGAAAUCUUGUUAUGAUGGCAACAUAAUUGUGCAGUUAAUUACUUUAUUACAUCAAAUCAAACCGAUCUAUUACCAGCUGAAUAUGUUCCCUCAAAUAUCCUCUCCCUUGCCAUUCUCGCCUGGAAAUAUCCACAAGCAAACCCAAUCACGAAACAAAUUCAAGGAUGAUUCAUUGUUAAAGAAACAAACACUUAUUGAAGAAUGAGUGAAAUGAGCUUGAAACCUGCUUUCGCCAAUUUGUGGUAACAGUAAUGAUUGCAAGCACAAUUGCUUGUACAGCUGAGCCGAUCAUUAUUCCAAUCCAAAGGCCUUUUCCUCUAAGAUUAAGAACAAAACAUAACACAGAUGCUAAUGGAAUUCCAACGAUAUAAUACGCACCAAGAUUUACAUAAGCCCCUAUGUGCUGCCACCCAGUUCCUCUAGCGACUCCUGAUGAAAGAACAAAUUGAUGAAAAAUUAAUGCAAAUAUGUCCUGGUACUUCUGCCACCCAAGAUUAUUCGCUGGUAUUUCUUUAGAUGAGUGCAAAUAAAUCCUGAGGGGAAAAGCUCACCGGAUAGUACUGAUUGAAGACUGUCCAUGAUAAUAGAGAAACUCAGCAGAGGAACUAAUUCACUGACAUAAUUCACAACGUCCUUGUCACUGUUGAAUGCAUAUGCCAAUACAUAGCGGCAGCAGAAGAGAAUUGUGCCCACUAUGACAGCCUCUGUGACUGCAAGAACCAUCACGACACAGGCAGCCAACUGAGCUGCCUGUGGAUUUCCCGCUCCUAAUUCAUUUGAUACCCGAGUGCUACAAAAUGGUAGGUUGCAUAUAUCUCAGUACAAAGAAAUUAUCAGGGCACUGAUAUAGUCAGAUAAUAGAAUUGUAUUUUGGAAUAAGAUAUAGAUCAAACCUUGCAGCAGCACCAAUUCCAUAUGGUAUAAAGUAGUGUGUUGAUGAGAUGGUAAGGCUGCAAGAUGAAGAUCAAAGAAAAUUAAAUCAAUCCUACUGAGAGUUUCCCCAAACUAAAGCCAAACACAAAUGUUGAAGCUUACCAUAUAGAAAGAACCGAUGUUUCAAGUUUGGAAUUUGGUAGAAGUCCAGAGAGUAAUAUCAGAAUCUCAAACGACCACCAUUCAAGACUAUAAUGAUUGAAACAAAAGAACACAAUAUAAACAAAUAACAACAAAAACUUAACAAAAACAUUGCAAAGUGAGAUUGAGAAAUUACCAAAACAUUACAACAGUGGGGAGGGCAAAGGAGAAAAACUCCUUAAUGCAAGAGAAAAUGUCACUGAAGAUAAAUACGCGAGUUUUCUCACAUGACGAAGAGUAUCUCAUAUAAAGGGCUAGGAUGACUGCAUUCAAACAGUACGAUAAACCAAUGGCUAAUGCUGCUCCUACAAUUCUGAAGUUUGCUUUAAACACUAGAUACCAACAAAGAAGAAUAUGGAAACACAGAGUUGCACAUGCGCUCAAGAACAAUGGAAGAAUCAAGCUCUGAGACUGGAGAUUGUGAAUUAGUGGUCGAAGGACAGCAAAUGCAAGUAAUGCAGGUAUGAGCGAAAUUGAGAAAUUGCAGGCUUCGGUGGCAAUCUCAGGGUCUUGGCCUAGCAGUAUUAAUACUUUGUCCAUGAAUAUCCAAAGAACAGAGAUUGGGAAACAAAUUGCAAUGCAAAAGAACAUAGCAGAGUAAGUAUACGUUCCAAUCUGUUGAUACUGCUUUGCUCCAUAAGCUUGUCCACAUAGAGUCUCUAAUGCACAGGCGAAACCGAACUGCCCAAAAUUCAAAGCUCCAAUGAAUACAAUAUACAUAAACACUUGACAAGUCUGAAAAUGAAUCAGAAACUCAAAUAUGAAGACAUAAUUUUGCAGGCUAAUCAGAAACUGUCAUUUUUUUAGACUAUUCAUCCAUAUAUGGACCUUAAAAUGAGUCACUGACACCAAGAUUGAACCUUAAAGCCAAGGUUUUAAGUCUUAAUAAACAAAAUUCAUCUCAGCUCCUGCUCUUCUAGUAUACACGCUUUUAAUUAGUAUUGCAAGGGGGUAAAUAAUUACACAUAUGAAAUGAAAGCAAGGUUUGUAAGAAUAAGAAUAAGGGAAUAAGGAAAGUGUAGAUUACAAGUGGAAUGAUGCCAGUGACAUUAGUGAAAGAGGUGGCGAUGGCGACACUGGCAAGUGUAAGUUCACCAAGGUGUCCCGCCAUCAUCAGCGACACAGCUGGUAAAAGGUACUGUGAAACCGUGACCCCCACCAUGGGCGCUGCCAAGAAGCUCAACUUCUUCAGCUCUUCCACAAACGCUCCUCGUGUGACCACCCAUUUCGUCUCUUCUUCCCUGCUCUCUCCCAGAAGCGGCUCCUCCAUUUUUCUGUGUAUGCUAACUAGGAGUAGUAAUCUCACUGGAUUCUUUUCAUUUUCUUCUCUUACUUCUAUGAUUGCAAUGGUUGUACAGUUCGAGAACAAAAGUCAGCAUGAGCGUGGACUCGAGGUGUAAUUGGCUUUGGUGUUUGGCAUUUUGGCUUUUAACGCACGUCUCAUACGUGGUCGCCAGAAGUCUCACGUGCGACAAGUUUUUCAACAUCUUCGCAUGACUGUUGAGUUUGAUCUGGUGAGUUAAAAGAUUGCUGGGAACCAACUCAUUCAAUCGGGCCCUACUAAGGAAGGGGCCGGCCUUGUACAAGGAGGAGGAGAGUUAAUUGAACGAUGCCUAUGUACAGGUAAGUGCUAAUGUAUGCCCGAAAAAAGAUACCUGUGAAAUGCUUAAUUAAUAAUUUUUUUUCAAAUACACUUGUAGUUCCCUUGUUAUGAGUACAUAAAGCACCGGCGACUCUCCUCUAAUACAAGUUUAAAGUUACUACGAAAUUAAAUACCUUUUAGAACAGUCUUUAAAGACUUAACCGAGUAAAUUUUAAUCAGCUUUAUACUAAAAAAUUUAAUUGAUUAUUUAGUUCUCUCAAUCUUAAUGAGAGAAUACUCUAGAAAUUAAUGGUUGGUGGCAUACGAACUAAAAAAUUUUAAGAAAAAUAAUUAGAUUUUUCUUGGACGAUGCUUAUGUGUUGAAUUGGGAUCAAGGUGUUUAGUUGUUCUCUAUUCUACUUAUUGUUAACCUUUUUUUUUUCUUUUUUCUUUUUAGUCUUCUCUUCUCAUUAAACAGACACUAAGGCAAAAUUAGUAAAUUAUUUUAUUAUUGGUCUUAUCGUGAGUAGAAAAUCAUUGGUGCAAAUUCAAUUAUUUAGAUCAACAAAAAUUUUGGGAUAUGAAUAAAUGAGAAAAUUUUGAAUAUUCCUAAAAUAUUAUUCCUUUUGUAUCGUGAGUAGAAUAUGACCACCUUAUUUUAACUCAAGCUUUUUAUUUAAAAUUUUGACAUAAAUUCUCAUCUAUAAACUUUGUGGCAAAAUCUUAAGUUGAAAUAGGGAGAAAAAAAUCUAAAGAAUGUAUAAAAUUUGUAGAAAGAAAAGCUGCACGUGAGCACGUGAGAUAUGUCAAAAUCAAAAUUCAUCAAUACAUCAAAUUUCAUAUACAUGGCAACUUAAACUCGCACAGCUCAAUGGAAAAAUUUAACUUUUAUCAAAAAGUAACGUUGCAUCCUCAUUUUACCUCUAACUCUAAGAGGUCUUGCAAUGGCCAAAGUAGCCAGUCAAUCUUUCUUUUGACGCUAUUUAAUCAUUCUGUACAGCAGAACACCCAUCAACUACUCUCAUCCUGGCCAUAGCUGCCUGCAUUGAGGAGUUGCUAAAGUUUAACAAUGAAAAAUAAAGCAACGAAAAAAUAAAUUUAAUUUGAAUUAAUCAAGAACCUGUUUUUUCCAGUUUGUGAAAGUUGUAGCAAGAGAGAGAAGGCUGGACUGCACAACAGAGCCAGCCACUAUUCCGAUCCAAAGUCCCUUUCCUCUUAAAUGUGCUACAAAACCCAACAUGGCACCCACUGGCAACCCAACUAAAUAAAAUGCCCCAAGGUUAAUGUACACCCCUAUAUGCUGCCAUCCACACCCUUUCGCAACCCCUAUUGCAAACGUAGAAUCCACCUUUAUUAAGAAUUGAAAAUUUGAACCGCAUUUGAAUCCCAGAUGUUUUGUGGUUUGUGUAUUCAAGAGAUAAUUACCAACUGAUCUAGUCAACACCAACCUCUUGGAUGUAUACUUUAUAUGUGUGUGUCUAUAUAUAUAUAUAUAUAUAGCAUGUAUCUAUUUAACUAUUACGACAUUUACCGAAUGAUAUAUAAGUCAACAGUGACUCUUCAGUCUCCCAUACUAUUAUCCAACAAAGAUUUUAAUUGAAAGAAGUGUAAUUAGAAAGCAACUACUAACCAGAAAAAACAGCUUGUAAGCUGUCUGUAAUAACUGAGAGACAAAUCAGAGGAGCCAUAACAGCAAUAUAAUGCACAACUUGGCUGUCUUUGGUGUAAGCGUAACCCAAAAAAUAGCGGCAGCAGAAGAGGAUCGUGCCGACUAUCACUGCCUCUACCACAGCAUAAGUUGUUGCAGCCCAUACAGCCACUCUAGCUGCUUGCGGAUUCCCAGCUCCAAGCUCAUUUGAAACUCGAGUACUAUACAUGACAUAUAUAUUAACAUGCACAUAGUCAAAUGCUAGCCUGCUCCAUUUGUAUUAUUUUAAAAAAAAUGCAAAUCACAGGGAGCAACCAAAAGCAAGAAAAAAAAAAAGACCUUGCAGCUACUCCAAAAGCAUAUGGUAUUGUGAAGUGCAAUGUUGAAAUUGUAAGGCUGAUCAUAAAACAACAACGAUUAGAAGCAUAUACAGUUUAAUUCUAGGACAAUUUAUAAGUCAAAAUUAAAUAGUUAUAACUAAAAUAGGAGCUAAUUACCAAAUUGAAAGUACUGAAGUCUCCAGCUUGGGAUUCGGUAAAAGGCCGGACAACAAAAUUAAGAUCUCCAUCGACCACCAUUUUAGACUAAUUAAUCACCAUAAUCGAUCACCAUAAGAGAGAGACUUUUGAGAUUAAAAGAGAAGAAACAACACAAAAAGCAAAAUUACCAUUCUAAGAGAAAAGAGGAAUAAUUACCAAACCAUUAUGGCAGAAGGUAUAGCCAAGCGAAAGAACUGUCCAAUGGCUAGGAAAGAUUCUUUAGAAACCGGGGCGCGAGUUUUCUCACAAGCUGAGGAGUACAUCAUGUACAAUCCGAGCAGUAUCACAUUCAACCAAGUUGAUAGACUGAAGGCUAGAGCUGCACCCAUGCUUCCUAAUUCUAGUUUGAACACAAGAGUCCAGCACGCGGGUAUAUGAAAACAUAGAAUUAGAAAAGAACUUGCAAACAUGGGAAGAAUCAAGCUCUGAGUCUGAAAGUAUCGGGUUAGUGGUUUCAGGAUUGCACUCCCGAAUAAUGCAGGGAUUAGCCACAUUGAAUACUUGCGUGCUUCGUGGGAGAUUACAGGAUCUUGGCCUAUUAGAGGUAACAAUUUGUCCAUAAAAAUCCACAACAGGCAAACUAGAGGGCAAACAAGAAUCAACGAAAUUAUGGCAGUGUAAGUAUGAACUCCAAGCUUCCGAAAUUGUGCUGCUCCAUAAGCUUGCCCACAUAGAGUUUCCAAUCCACCAGCCAUUCCUGACUGCUUGGCAAGUCCAAAUUAAAUUCAAUCAUUAAUCACCAAAAUUAUCUCUAGGAUUAAUUAAACCUGAAGAUGAAGGUAAUGUGAGUAGAGAGCAGCAAACUUACUAGAAGACUAAAGCCGGUAACAUUUGUGAGAGAGGUGGCGAUGGCUACACUAGACAGGGCAAGCUGGCUUAGAUGUCCCACCAUUACCGUUGACACAACUUGCAGAAGGUACUGCAACACAGAGACUGCCACCAUUGGUGCCGCGAUACGGCCAGCCUUCUUCAGCUCUUCCAUAAAUCCACCCCAUGUAAUUGCCCAUCUCUUCUCCUGGCUCUCUCCAACUUCCAUAUCCAUGCAAAAUUGAUAAAUGAUAAUAAUGAUGGUAUCUUAGUUUGCUUUGCCACUAUUAAUAAAAAGAGCCAAUCCAAAGAAACACGAAGUUCGUAUGCUGUCCUCUGUUUUGGCUUUGCUUGAGAAUUCAAUAUUAACGAUUUAAUGUUUUGACUGUUUCAAGAGAGCAGCAUCCUGAGAAGUUCAAAUUAGUGGAGUCUAAUGGGUCAUUGAACAUCAAUUAAAAUUUCAUUCAGACCCAACUUUUCAGAGCAGAACUUCUAUUAAGUUUUUCACUAGGAAAUGCAUAUUUGUCAUAUGCCCUUGGCGCAGCUCAGCAGCUGUGAAAGCCCCUCGAUCAUUUAAAGAAAGUUUGAGUAAUGCUGUCAUAUAAUUGCUGGUGUUCAAUCGGUCAGAUUUUUCAUCUUUUCUCGAUCUUUUAAAAAAUCAUAAUAAUAAUUAUAAUAGAUAGGGAGACACGUAGGUGGGAUUGAGAUUUUGUCUGAUAUGGCUUGAUUUGAAGUAUUUUUUGAUAUCUGCAUAUAGUAGGUACACUCUUAUCUUCUGAGUGAUGGGCUUCAUUUUUGGCCGUUCUGAACAAAAAUUUCUGUGGAAUAUAAUAAAGGAGAGGAAUAAAAAAGCAUAUCGCAAAUUGGGUGUACUGUCUCACAUCUGAAUCAUUUAAUAAUGCGUUUGGAAGCACAUUUUUGACUAGUUACUACAUAAUAUCAGCUUAGAAGAAACAGAUGCGAUUCCCCUAGUAGCUUUCAAAUUUCAAUCAGUUGUAUGCGAGCGUUCCUUAACAGAUGAGAAGAAAGAAAAAUGGCAAAACAGGAAAAAAAAAAUUCUGAUGUUUCUAGUGUCAGUAGAUCCUAUUGAAAUAUAUAUUUUUCACUUGAUAAUAACUACUUUAGAAUUAUCCUAAGAUAGAACACGAAUCAAACUACACACAUAAAAUAAUAAAUAAUAAAAAAAUAUUAUAACUUUAAUCGUAUGAUUAUUAAAAUAUAUUUUAUUGUAGAGUGGUUCCAACAUAACCGGACACUUUUCACUUUCUUCCCCUUAACUAUGUUAGACUUUACGUCUAAAUUCGCACUUGUCUCUCAAGGUUUUGAUGGACUGUUAACAUGGACUAAAUGAAUAGAAAUACAUAGAUACCCUUGAUUUGAAGCAAAAUAACCAUGCCAGGAAACGAAACAGCUCGUGUAUAAAGAGAUGACAGUGUUAAUUUGGACAAAAAGUCUAUUAAACUGUGGGUUGGACAAAAUCCAUUCGAGGAUAAUGAAAAAUAUCUAUUUUGAUAUAAUGUAUAGGGUAUACCGAUUCAAAACUCAAAGUCGUUUCGUUCUUUAAAAAAUUUCACUGCUUUAAAAAUUAAAAAAUCACAUUUAUAAUUAAUUUUUUUAUCAUGCUCUAAAUUCUUUCUUUUUUUUUUUUUUGGUCAACAUCGUCAAAUUUUAUUAAGAAUUACCUAUGCCUUGAUCGAUCAAAUCAAUGGACAUUUCGUUCUUAUUUGAUAAAAUCAAUAGCCAUUUGGUUCUUAUUUAAUGUGUUCCAAUGGUAAAUCUAUUUGAGAAUUCAAUUUUUUCCCCCUCAUAAUUGAAUUUUUUUUUUUUUUUUUUGGGGAAAAAGUUAACAUGUCAAUUUCUGCCAAAAAAGUGGCUGUGCAUUCACAUAAAAUUGGCAUUUUUCUAUAUAUCAAUGUGAUCUUAUGGAUAUAUAUUCAUUUUUCUGUACAUAUAUGGAAUGAUGAUGCUACGUGACUUUUUUCUUUUUUGAAUUUUAUGAUGUUAUAAUCACAAAUUUGUCUUAUUACUUAUUCUCAAGGAAUACUGUAAUAGUAGUGCCCACCUUUUUUCUUUUUUAAAUUACAUGAGGGGAUGUGGAAAUUUUUCCAACCUGUGAGCAAUGUGAGGUAGAAGGCAAACUUGUCCAUUUUCAAUUCCCAAACCCGUAAGAAUCAGACUUUUUUUUUUUAAAUGAUCAAAUAAAUACAAUUGGCUACUUCUGCCAGACAGGAACAAUACAAGUGUCUUAACAUGUCGAUCAAAUGGCCAAAAGUAAAACGCAAUCCCUAAGUUAACUUACAAUUGCUAAAAAUGACGUAAAAAUGAAUAUCAAGCAAAUGGAUCAAAUAGGACCAGUAUCAUUAUUUUACCUUGUCUUUAAUCGUUGUAAGUUGCAUUUUAGGGAAUAAUAAUAAUAAUAAUAAUAAUAAUAAUAAUAAUAAUAAUAAUAAUAAUAAUAAUAAUAAUAAUAAUAAUAAUAAUAAUAAUAAUAAUAAUAAUAAUAAUAACAAUUGGAAAAUGCUACUUCCCUCGGGUCAAACCCUAAAUUAUUUCAAAACGGCGUCGUUUUGGUUGUCUUUUUUUUCUUUUUACUUGCAUGAAACGUAGUCAUUUGAGCUAGUAAAAACAAAACAAACUAAAACAGAAAAAACUCAAGUGCUUCUCUUCUCUGCCCCUUUCUUACUUUCCUUUUGACAAACCACGGAAUCACACCCACAAACAACAAUCACCCACGGUCACGCGAACAGCCGGCACAGACGAAGGACAAGCCCACAGACGACGAACCACCGCAUCGAAAUCUCUAUCCACAUCACCGGCACCAUCAUCGUAGGUUCGUAACAAACCGUCGUAAGUUAAACCCUUCUCACCGUCAAUGAACUCGCCGUAAGUACGGAAUACUUCGUCGAUAAUUGCGUUGAUUUGUUCGUCGCUGAAUUCGACUCGAGGGUUUACGGCCACCAAUAAAGCCGCCAUUUCUUCUCUAUUAAGGCCACCGUCGCGGUUCGUGUCAAAUUGUUGAAAAAUUCUCUUCACUUUCUCUAAUCUGCUUCCUCUCGUAGCCAUUUUUUUUUUCCCUUUUUCUGGGAGUCAGUUUGGUUUCUCAGUGUUUGUUUGAGAAAGCGAAAUUAGUAGAUAAUGGAAUAUAAGGAAAAGUUGAUAAAAAGGCAAAGGGUGGUUACUUUAAAUUUAAAAUUUGAAACCCUAAUUCAUUUCAAUUGAGGUUUGUUUAAUUGUUGGUGAGAAUAAUGAUAAUGAUGGCUUAAUUCUGGGUUUUGUUGGAUCUGAAUGAAUUCUUAACGGCAAAAGUUAAAGAGUAGAAGAAGGGCGAGAGGACGGACUCUCAUUCUUUCCCUUUUUUUCUUUUAAUUUUAAAUAUAUCAAAAACGGCAGCGUGUUGGAGAAGUAAAAAAGAAAAAAAAAUUAAAACAAAACGACGCCGUUUUAUUUUUUUCGGGAUUUGACCCGGGGCAAACAUCAGCACUCCUAACAAUUUGAGUAGAAAUUAUCAUGAACAAAUGCCUGCAUAUCUUAACAUCUUCAAAGAUAUGUGACUUAAUGAGGGACACUCCAUUUUAUGAAACACUUGCAUCAGAAAAUUCUGAAGGGACUGCAAAUGCCUUUUGAGACAUAGGAGAUUUACAUUAUUGACAAACCCAGGACAAAGCAGAAAGAAGCAAGUUUCAAUUUGUUUCUCAGCCAAAAAUCAAGUUCUUCCGUUAUUUUCUGUCUACUUUCUUCCCCUUUAACUCCAAUUUUUUCUCUGACCCUUGGUUUUGGAAUUGAGCAAGUAAUUGGAGGAGUCAAAGAGAAAGAAAGUAAACAAAAUAAAUAUAUAUAUAUCAGCAACUCCCUAGAUCUAAUCUGCUUCUGGCUCAGUUAGGUGAUCAGUCAUUAAGAUCUAUAGCCUCUCCACCUUACUAGUACUCCCAGCCCUUUAGAGCAAAUUAUUAAACCAACCCUCGGAAAGCUCAGACACAUCCUUUGUAUUCCAACUGUGCAAGUGUAAUGUUAACCUAAGGUCCUCUUUUCUUUUCAUUUGUAUGCUUGAAGAAAAAUCAACAAGAAAAUGCAAUACCAGCAGGUAUUAUUUGUAAUUUAUAUGGAAAUUAUCAUUAACAUAUGCUUACAUAUCUGAAAUCUUCAAAAGUUUGUUUAUGUGUAGCAAUCCAAUCUAUUUUAUCAAAGACAGAAAAACUUAUGUUCAAGCAGAACAAUCAAAAGGGAAAGUAAAUGCCCCAAUUUUGAGCUAGCACCAAUAAAUUGAAGAUGUACAUUAUUGACAAGCAUAGAACAAUGUCAGCUUGAAAAGAAGCAGAUAAAAGCACAUAUUUAGACAGGAGAAACUCACAAACUACCUCAGUUUUUGUGCUGCAUCCUACCACUUUCUGCACCAGCAUAGGGAUCAAUAGUAACAUUUAUUACAGCUGGCUUUCGUGCAGCAAACGAUUCAGAAAGGGCCGACUUGAGUUCAUCUGGUGUCCCAACUAAAUAUCCUUUUCCCCUAAAAGCUUCCAUGAGCUUAUGAUAAGCUGCACCAGGUACAAAAGAAGUAGGUGCAGGAUCAUCUUUGAAAGGCCCUGCAAUUUCUUCAGGGUUUCUGCGAUCUCCACCAUACACACCACCAUUAUUAAAAACUAUCACGACAACAGGCAACUGAUAUCGAACCAAUGUCUGCAAAAUUAGAAGAAACAGAGACCACAUUAGUCUCUUUUUCUUCUCCCACCUUUUUCCAUUUAUUGGAUGAGGAUAUGCUAUAUGUAUGAAUCAACUUUGGACUUGGACAAAGUAAAAUUCAUUUAUUCCAUUAAUUGAUUAACAUUUUUCCUUAAAGUUAAUCAAUCUUCUAACUAUACAGAUACGCAAACAUCCAAGUGCGAGCAUGUCACAAGCACAAAUUCUCAUUUUUCAUUCAGAAGGAAAGUGAAAAAGAGGGGGAAAAAAGCAUGGAAGGUAUCUACAAUGAAAAACCCUCAUCUAAGUCACACAUCAAUGAAGAAUGCAAUAGAAGAAAUCUUUCCACUAAAUACAGAAAGAUGCACCAAGAACUACCCUUCUGAAAGCAAGGCAGCAAUUAAGCAAGUUCAGAUUAGCUAAAACUAAAUGUCUAAAUCUGACAGUGGCCAUCUAGCAUUUGAUAAUUACAAGACUACUAAUUCACUAGAAUAGAACCAGCAUCAAAAGAAACUCAAAUAUCCAAAUCGUAAGAAAAUUAAGGAUAUAUUGAGAAAAGGAAGACACAGGGGAUAAAAGCCAUUUAGGAACCGUACCAUCAACUAUCGAUCCCUGACAAAAAGGAAAUGAGCUAGGAAACUAGAUAAAGUAAAACCUAAACAGUAUGUCCUAAAAUCAAGAAGCCAGACUGCCUGUAAUGAGCAAGCGAAGUUUUCCAAAUUUGUGACCAUCAUCCCAGUAAAUAAUGAAAUGCUUUAGAAAGCAUGAUAAAGUUGAUGCUGGCACUCAAAGCUUUAAACAAGCAAGAUUUGACUGCCCAAACUAAGGUAGUCAGUCUCUCCCAUCAAAUAGAGAAGGAUCCUAAUUCAAGCUGAUGAUCAAAACUUAACUUUGCCUAUAUCCACUUGAAACUGCAUCAGCCUUCAAAUUCUUCAAAAGUUAUUACCAUAGGACGACAACUCACAAAUGUCCUAAAUCUUUAAAAUCUAAUAUUAGACCAUUGGAGAUGUGCCGCAGAUUUCAAGAUUAAAGCGAAAGUAGAAUAAAAUGGAACGCUAAAGAGAAUCUUAAAAUAACAAAAUAAUCAUAAAUGACUAGCAAUUUGCAUCAUGUUUGUUGAUGAAUUAAGGAAGUCAAGCAUGAUGUACAAGUUUAUUCUUGUGAAUAAAAUGUAAGCAUAAAUAUCGUUAUAUGCUAGAGAUCAUAAUUAUGCAAGAGAGCCAUACCUCAACCUCAACCGCACUGAACCCAAAUCCAGAGUCUCCUUCAACAGCGACCACAAGCCGUUCAGGGCAAGCUAUUGCAGCAGCAAUGCAAUACCCUAAACCAACCCCCAUGGUCCCCCAAGUCCCUGCAUCCAGCCUACAGCGAGGCUCAGUUUGAACCAAUACUGCCCUACCCACAUCCAUAGUAUUUGCCCCUUCAGAUACCAAUAUAGGAGCGGGGCUCCCGACUCCUAAGAUCGCAUCUCUUAUAAUCCUCAUUGGCGUCAUGAAAUUAAACGGCACAACAUCCUUCGCCAACUGAACCUCCAUUUUCAACACAUUGUCCUUCGUUUUCUUCCAAAUAGCCUCAACCCAAGGAUGAUUCUUCCCCAAACAAAAAGGUUCAUCUUUAAUCUCCUUAUUAAUCAUUUCCAACACUUUUUUAGCAUCUCCAACCAAACCCAAGUGUGGUUUCCUUAACUCAAUCUCUUCCUUGCAAACAUCAACCAAAACAAACUUCACAUCCUUCGACCACUUCGGUGGCUCACCAAAAUGCAACAACCAAUUAAGCCUCGCACCAACAACAAGCGCAACAUCACAUUGACCUAUGGCUAAUGACCUCGCAGCGGCAGCAGCAAGCGGAUGGGUAUCAGGCAACAGACCUUUACCCAUUGGAGUAGGCAAAAAUGGAAUCCCAGUACUUUCAACUAAUUUCUUCAAUUCACCCUCAGCUCGCGCAUAAGCUGCGCCUUUCCCAAACACAAUCAACGGCUUCUUUGCUUCUUUAAGCAAAGACACCGCUUUAUCGAUAUCAGAAUUCACAAUCCCCCCUUGCGUCACCGUUUCUAUGGCACUCUCCGCUUCCUUCAGAAGCUUCUCCGCUUCAGAUACCGAUAUCGUUUGAUGUAAAACAUCAGUGGGUAGAUCCAAAUAACACCCGCCGGGCCGCCCCGAAACAGCCCGUUCAAGAACCUGAGCGACACACUUGGGAACUUCCGUAAUGUCCUUCGCUUUUACAGCAAAUUUCGAAAAAGGCUUGACGGCUUCCACUUGGUCGAGUUCUUGAAAAUCGCCGCGGCCAAAAUCUUUCUGAUCGCAGGAGCCGGAUAUCAUGACGAUUGGCCAGGUGUUAAUCAUCCCAUUCGAGAGACCAGCCAGACCGUGCACGCAACCCGGACCGGAAACAGUUAACAGAAUGCCGGGUUUUCCAGUCAGGUAUCCGUAGGCUGAGGCGGCGUAGCCAGCGGACUGCUCAUUGUGGAAGGCGAUGAACCGGACGCCGAGCUGGACGGCCAGGUUCGCUAAGGAAGUAACGGGAAUGCCCACCACGCCGAACAUGUGGGUGGCACCGAAUAGUGACAAGGAUUUGGCCGCCAGGGUGUUGCCGUCGAUCUGGGCAUUUUGGGAAUUUUGCAAUGGAGAUGAUGGAUGAAGCAUUGGAGGAAGCAAAUUUGAUAUUGAGUUCAAUUGAAUUGAUCACCAUAAAGACAUUGUGUUUCUUGGCGAUUACUUUUUUUUGUUUUUUUGUUUUUUUUAUGCAAAUGCAACCAAAAUGGGUAGCUUCACCCAUAAAACGACAUAACUGGUAGUAGGUAUAGCGACAAUGCUUUCCCGAUUAUCAUUAUAUUUGUUUCCAAAAGUAUUAAUCCUCAUCCGUUGAAUGAUAACACGUAAUUAUUACUUUGGGAUGAUAUUGCUUAAUCCGAAAGAAGGAUGUAAUAACUUUAAAAAAAAAAUACAUAUGACAUAGAAGAGCAUCAUUAAAAAAUUUUUUUAAUUUAAUUUUUUAAGUAUUUCUUUAUUUAUAUAUGUUAUAAAUAGAAGAGAGAAAAUAUCAUUUCUCAUAAGACUUUUCAAAUAAAAAUAAAUUUAUACUAUUUUACUCAAAAUUUUCUUUCAUUAAAAUAAUAACAAUUAUAACCAUUCCCUCUCUUUAAAAGUAAUGAAAUAAAAAAUAAUAUAGUACUAAAUUAAGUGUUCUAAAAGACUCUCUAAAUAAUUUUUUUUAAAUUUCAAUAUGAACAAUUUUAUUUAAAAAUUAUUUUAAAACUCUCUUUAUUAACAUAACUCUUCAAAUAAAUAGUAAAUUUUCAUUUUAAAAACUUUUUUAAAAUGUCUAUAAUCGAAAAAAAAAUUAUUAACAGCAAGGGUUCGGCUAUAUUGGAGUUCACCUGUGGUGGAGAACGAAUUUCAGCCACGUACACAAAAUGAUAAAGAAUAAAUAAUAAGUUAUAAUGAGUUUUUUAAUAUUUAUUACUUUGCGUGUGUGGUUGAGAUUCGUGAUCCACCGUAAGUAAACUCCAAUAGUCAUAGCCUAACAACAAUUACCAAAUCAAAUCUUUGAGCACAUGAUUUUAUAUGGGCUUUUACAAAUUGUGGACAUCCAUAAAUAAAUUAGAGUUCAUAAUCGAUUCUUGCUGUGACAGAUUCUGUUUAAUUUUUAAUUUAGAAUUUCUCAGUUACAAUUUACAACUCGUAUAUUCCUAUACAUGAAUUGCAAUGCCUUGGAUGCUUGUGUUGAAAUAUGAUGCAACCGAAGCAUGUGACGUUGUAUGACAUGUCAUGUAUAACAAAAAAAAUGUACGACUUGUCAUCCUUAAACUAAAAGACACGUAUGACAAUAAAAAACGGUUAUCUCCAAUUUAUAUUUCCGAUUACAAUAGUCAUUGAUUCAGUGCUCACAAAGUUAAAUCAUAGUUCUAAUAAUAUACUCAGGGUUUUAUUUAUUUAUUUUGUAUUUUUAGAAAAAAAAAUUGACUAACAGAUAUUACUUGACAACAAAUAAAGAAACUACUACUCAAGAGACACUUUCAACAACGCAUGUGAGGUAAAUAACAAGAGUGAAGAGACGCUUAAUUGAUUGAUAAUCGAAGUUCGAAGCCUGUGUGCUAACAAGCAGUAAAGUUAACAACAGGAAGCUAUAAAUGGCAAACGUUGAUGCUCAUGAUGACAUCCAAAUCAAGUUCAGAAUCGUUGAACAUUUGAAAACAAUCACAACAGGAAGCUAUAAAUGGCAAAAGUAUGGAGGUGCCACUAUUGCCAGAGAGGGAAGAAGAGAGGAAAUGGGUGGUGGUGGUGAAGACGUUGAGCUUCUUAUCAGCGCCGCCGGCAGGGGUGGCCUGUUUUCCGUUCUUUUUGCUGGCUACAGCAACGAUGAUGAUGGGACACCUUGGAAAACUUUCACUUGAUGGUAUUGCCAUUACUAACUCAACUAAUGUCACCGGCUUCAUUCCACUAGUAAUUUUUUCUUCAUUCCCUAUUCUUUUUACCAUUAGAAAACUGCUUUACUUCUUUCUGUUUCACAUCAAAGCAUGCUUCGUUUAUUUAAUCUAAUGACACUGCUUUGUAUGCCUUUUGUUUUGGAGCAAGUUAACAAUUUGCUUGUGCUUGCUAGAAAAUUGUUUAAAUGACUCAAUAUAAUCCACACAGCAAUAAUAUAACAAUAGCUAUUUUUAAAUCCAGAUCAACGACAAGCAACCACAACUAUAUGGUUAAACAAGUUAAAUCAAGCUCGUUUAGCUAUAAUAAGCAAUCAACUUUAGAACUUUAGCUUGACUUUCAUAGGUGAGAAUACCAAGCAGGUCUAUUUUGUCUAGGCUAAGAUCAACAAAUUAAUAAAAUUUGAUUAAUUAUUGGCGAAGAAUUAAUCAAUAUUACUUGGAAGAUAUUAAGAAACUUUGUUCACCUUUUCUGUCACUGGUCCAAAUAAUUUAUGAAGUACUUUUUUGAGCUUUUUUUUUUUUUUUUGGAAAGGUAGUACUUUUUGAGCUUGAACAAGCAUUAUUAUAACUGAUCUUAGUUUACUCCAUAUUUUCCAUGCUACCGCUGUUUACAUAAAACGGAUUUUGGGAGAAUAGCAUAUAUUUCAUCAAUAAUCAAUUGAGACAUAUAAGAUUAGCCAACAAAAUGAUAUCCAAUGUGGACAAUGCCAUUAAAUUUUGAGCAGUUUGGUUUUGCCUCUGCAUUAGAGACUCUAUGUGGACAAGCUUAUGAAGCAGAGCAAUAUCAAAAGAUUGGAACCUAUACUUACCCUGCUAUGUUCUUUUGCAUUGCAAUUUGUAUCCCCAUCUCUGUUUAUUCAUGGACAAAGUACUAAUACUGCUAGGCCAAGACCCUGAUAUUUUUGUCGAAGCCUGCAAUUACGCAAUUUGGCUCAUACUGGCAUUAUUUGGCUAUGCUAUUCUUCGAUCACUAUGUCACAAUCUCCAGGUUCAGAGCUUAAUUCUGGCAUUGUUCUUAAGCUCAUGUGCCACUCUUUGUUUGCAAAUUCUUCUUUGUUGGGGUCUAGUAUCUAAAACAGACUUUGGAAAUACAGGAGCAGAAUUAUCCAUAGGCAUUUCUUAUUGGUUCAAUGUGAUCAUCCUUGCACUUUACAUGGGAUAGAACUCACACGUUGAUCACCAAGCAAAAUUUUCCCUAGGACGAAGGAGUUUUCCUUCUUUGCACACCUUUCAGUUGUAAUGUUUUGGUAAUUUGCCAAUCGUACUUUGCAAUGUUUUUGUUAGUUUUCUGUUCUUAUAAAUUGACUUACAGUGUGCCUUUUGUUUCCAAUAACUUAAGUCUCGAAUGGUGGUCAUAUGAGAUUCUGGUACUGCUGUCUGGAAUAUUACCAAAUCCAAAACUUGAAACAUCAGUUCUUACAAUAUGGUACGUAUCUACACUUACAGUUUUGACUUUUGAGUAAACGGGGAAAAUUCUCAGUAGGGUUGAAUUGAUUUCCUUUGAUCUUCAUAUGCAGCUUUACAAUCCAGUAGGGAGGCACCGAAUAGUGACAAGGAUUUGGCCGCCAGGGUGUUGCCGUCGAUCUGGGCAUUUUGGGAAUUUUGCAACUCCGAACCCGCCAUUGCUUGCUAGAUGUGUGUGUUUGUGCUAAUGCCCGCGUGAGAAGUGGACGGGGUAAAGGGAAAACAAAUUCGGCUUUAGUUUGUUAAGAUAGUUAGGCAAUGGGCGAAAUGUCUAUCAUGCCCUUUCCGGCGUGGUAGCUGGGACAGGUGGCAACGGUGUAUUGAGGAAAGUUAUAUACUUUAUUCGAAAAUAAAGAAAUAAAGAAAUUGAAAUAAAAAAAUUUAUUUUAAUAUAGUCUUCUCAUGCUAAUGGAGGAUGGAGAUGAUGGAUGAGGCAUUGGAGGAAGCAAAUUUGAUAUUGAGUUCAAUUGAAUUGAUCACCAUAAAGACAUGGUUUGUUAUGGGCGGUUACUUUUUUUUGUUUUUUUGUUUUUUUUUUUAAUGCAAAUGCAACCAAAAUGGGUAGCUUCACCCAUAAAACGACAUAACUGGUAGUAGGUAUAGCGACAAUGCUUUCCCGAUUAUCAUUAUAUUUUUCUCUGUAGGUAAAAAUAAAGGUGACAAUUUGUUUACAAGAGUAUCGUUAUUAAUCCUCAUCCGUUGAAUUAUAACACGUAAUUAUUACUUGGGAUGAUAUUGCUUAAUCGGAAUGGAGGAAUGAAAUAACUUUUUUUAAAAUAUAUAUAUAUAACAUCUAGAGCAUUAUUAAAAAAUGCUUUUAAUUUAAAUUUUUAAGUACUUAUUUACUAAUAUGUUAUAAAUAGAAGAGAAAAAAAUCAUUUCUUACAAGAUUCUUCAAAUAAAAAUAAAUUUAUAUUAUUUUACUCAAAUUUUUUCUUCUAUUAAAAUAAUAACAAUUAUAAUCAUUCUCUCUCUUCAAAAGUAAUGAAAUAAAAAAUAAUAUAGUAAGAAAUUAAGUGUUCUAAAAAACUCUCUAAAUAAUUUUUUUAAAUUUUAAUAUGAAUAAUUUUAUUUAAAAUUAUUUUAAAACUCUUUUUAUUAAUAUAACUCUUCAAAUAAAUAGUAAAAUUUUUAUUUUAAAAUGUCUAUAAUAAGCGGAAAAAAAAUGUUAACAGCAACUACCAAAUCAAAUCUUUGAGCACAUGAUUUUAUACGGGCUUCUCCAAAUUGUGGACAUCCAUAAAUAAAUUAGAGCCCUUAACCAAUUCCUGCUGUGACAAAGAUUCUGUUUAAUUUUUAAUUUAGAAUUUCUCAGUUACAAUUUACAACUCGGAUUGUACAUGAAUUGCAUUAUUGCAAUGCCUAGGAUGCUUGUGUUGAAAUAUGAUGCAACCGAAGCAUAUGACGUUGUAUGACAUGUCGUGUAUAAGGAAAAAAUGUACGACUUGUCAUCCUUAAACUAAAAGACAUGUAUGACAAUAAAAAACUGCCAUCUCUAAUUUAUAUUUCUGAUUAUUAUAAUUAUUAAUUCAGUGCCCAACAAAAACUUAACUCAACACUUAAUCUUAGUUCUAAUAAUAUACUCGGGGUUUUAUUUAUUUAUUUUAAAUUUUUUUAAAAAAAUUGACUAACAGUGAUCAAGAUUGACUAAUAGAUAUUACUCGACAACAAAUAAAGAAACUACUGCUCAAGAGACACUUUCAACAACGCAUUGAUGUGAGGUAAAUAACAAGAGUGAAGAGACACUUAAUUGAUUGAUAAUCAAAGUUCGAAGCCUCAGUGUGCUAACAACCAGUUAAGUCAACAACAGGAAGCUAUAAAUGGCAAACAUUAAUGCUCAUGAUGACAUCCAAAUCAAGUUCAGAAUCGUUGAACAUUUGAAAACAAUCACAACAGGAAGCUAUAAAUGGCAAAAUUAUGGAGGUGUCACUAUUGCCUUAGAGGGAAGAAGAGAGGAAAUGGGUGGUGUUGGUGCUACCAAGGCUUAGAGGUGGCAAAAAUACCCGCCCGGUCCGGACCCGGACCGUACCCGGGUGUUGCGGGCCGGGUAGGCCGUACAGCAGCUUAGAGGUGGCAAAAAUACCCGCCCGGUCCGGACCCGGACCGUACCCGGGUGUUGCGGGCCGGGUAUUACCCGGUUUGAGUAUGAAGUCGGAUCGGUCUUGGAAUUAAAACCCGACCCGGACCCGGACCCGGACCGGUUGCAUCUGGGCAGGGUCCGGUCAUGGCAAUACCCGGACCCGGCCCGGGGUUUUGCCAUCUCUACCAAGGCUAGCCUUUUUGGAAGAGCUAAAUGUUAGGAAAUUGGUGGGUGAAGCAGACACGCAGCUAAAGUAAAAUUGGAAGAAAAAUAAAGAACAAGCACAAUAGAGGACACUAGAAAUUACGUGAUUCGGCUUUUAGCCUAUAUCCACGGGCGAAGACAAAAGGAAAUAUUUUACUAGUGAAAAGGAGUUACAAGUAUUGUAGUAUUUUAGCUCACUUCCCAAAACCCCAAUACACCCAAACUCUCUAACUCACUAGACACUCAAGAGUUUAUUAAACUCUUAAAACUCUCAACACUCAAGAAAGCAAUACUUCUCUCUCGAUGGAAUUGAAUGCAAAUGAAUUAGGGAGCUCUUCCUUUUAUAGCUAAAAAAUGUCUAUUAAAUUAAUAUAUAUAUGUAUAUAUUUCAAAUGUAGUUACCAACUUCUUCUUUUUCUCCAUUUAGAUGGCACCAUUUUCUUUGGCCGGCUGCACCAUUUUCUUCUUUCAAAUGUCAAACCCUUCUAGAUGCAACCAUGCCGAACACUUCUAGAUGCAGUCAUGCCAAACACUUCUAGAUGCAGCCAACUUUGACACUAAAGACGUUAGGCUUCUUAUCAGCGCCGCCAGCAGGGGUGGCAUGUUUUCCGUUCUUUUUGCUGGCUAUAGCAACGAUGAUGGUGGGACACCUCGGAAAACUUUCACUUGCGAGUAUUGACAUUGCUAACUCCUUAAGGGUGCGUUUGGGACAGUUAUAUAUUAAAAGUUACAGAAUUAAAGUGUUUGGUAAAUACUCAUCAUUGUAACUUAUAAAUUAUAUUGAUAUGAUUUGUUACUUGUAUAAUAAAAAAUAUAUUAUAUUAAAAAAAUUAUUAUUCUGCUUCUGUUGUAGAUAAAGCCACAACGGUCUGCAGUUUCGAAACCCAGCUUACAGCUGCUCCCGCAAGUGUAAACACAUAACUAGUAGUGGAUUUCCUUUUAUCAAAGUCUCCUGCAAAAUCUGAAUCCACAUAGCCCCUGACAGUAAACUCUGAUCCUCCAUAACAUAAUGCAACAUCUGAGGUUCCUCUGAUGUAUCUCAGAAUCCUCUUCACAGCUAUCCAAUGCUCUCCACCAGGAUUCGCCAUGUAUCGACUGACUGCUCCCACUGCUUGUGCAAUGUCCGGUCUAGUACAUAUCAUAGCGAACAUCAAACUUCCCACUGCUGAUGCAUACGGUACUCGAGACAUCUCCUUCCUCUCUGCUUCAUUGCUAGGACACAUACUUGAGGAUAAUUUAAAAUUAACAGGAAGUGGGAUAGAAAUUGACUUACAAUCUUGCAUGUUGAAGCGCCGCAAGAUUUUCUUCAAGUAAUUCUUCUGUGAAAGCCAAAUCUUCCUGUUAUUUCUGUCUCGGUGAAUUUGCAUCCCUAGAAUCUUGUUUGCUGGUCCCAAGUCCUUCAUUUCAAACUCCCUAGCCAACUAUGCUUUCAAUUCUUGGAUUCGAUCUUUGUUGGGACCUGCUACCAACAUGUCAUCCACAUACAACAGCAAAAUGAUGAAAUCAUUAUCUUCAAACCUCUUGUAAUAUGCACAAUGGUCUGAACUGAGUCUGUUGUAUCCAAGGCUCAUAAUGAAUGAAUCAAAUCUCUUAUACCAACACCUCGGCGCCUGUUUGAGACCGUAUAGAGAUUUGUUCAACCUGCAAACCAAGUUCUCCUUUCCUGUUUCUGCAAAACCUUCUGGUUGGAGCAUAUAUAUUUCUUCUUCAAGUUCUCUAUGAAGAAAUGCAGUUUUCACAUCCAACUACUCAAGAUGUAAGUCAAAUGUAGCACACAUCGCCAAGACUACUCUGACUCUUGUGAGUCGAACCACCGGAGAAAAUAUCUCGUUGAAGUCAAUACAUUUUUUCUGAGCAUAUCCUUUCACCACCAAUCUUGCACGAUACCGCUCCACUUGGUAAUUGCCAUCACGCUUGAUCUUAUAGACCCAUUUGUUUCCAAUGGCUUUUCUUCCACGUGGUAGUGGUACAAGUUCUCAUGUCUUGUUCUUGUGUAGAGCUUCAAUUUCUUCAUGCAUUGCUGUCAUCCACAAAACAACAUCUGAGCUGUUUAAAGCUUCAUGGAAAAUUGAAGGCUCUUCAUCCUCUGUUAGAAGACAGUAUGCAACAUUGAUCUCUGUGACAUACUCCAAGUGCCACGCCGGCGGUCGUCUCUCACGAGUUGACCGACGAACUUCUGGAGCUUCAGACUCGACUGGUUCUUGUUCCUCGUGCUUUGGUGCUGCUUCAUAAGAAUCUGAAUCUUCUAGAUUAUUUUCCACAUAUACUGGCACAGUCUCUGACUUUUCUUUUGCAGUGCCAUCAUUCUCAUCUCUCCUUUGCAGUUGAUCUUCUAUAAAAAUAACAUCUCUGCUGAUGACGAUUUUGUGGGCAAUGGGGUCCCACAGACGAUACCCCUUUACUCCAUCAGCAUACCCCAAGAAGAUACAUCUUCUAGAUUUUGGAUCCAGCUUUAUUCUUUCUUGGACAUUGUACAUCACAUACACAGGACAUCCAAAUGCAUGUAGGUAAGAAUAAUCAGCUGGCUUUCCAGUCCACAUCUCCAUCGCUGUCUUCAACCCAAUAGCUGUAGAUGGCGACCGAUUUACUAUAUAAUAGGCAGUUUUGGCUGCUUCUGUCCAGAAUGAAUUGGGUAGACCAGCAGUCCUCAACAUAGCUCUUAUUCUUUCUGUAAGAGUUCUGUUCAUCCGCUCCGCCACUCCGUUUUGUUGAGGAGUGUAUGCCACUGUGAACUGCCUCUGAAUACCUUCGUGCUUACAGAAAGCAAGAAACUCGCCGUCUGUAUACUCUCCACCAUUAUAUGUCCUCAAGUACUUGAUCUUUUUACCAGAUUCAAGUUCCACCCGUGCUCUGUAUUCUUUAAACACAGAAAAUACAUCUGACUUUUUCUUAAUUGGAUACACCCAACAUCUUCUGGAAUAAUCAUCAAUGAAAGUCACCAUGUACUUUGCACCUCCCAUGGAUAUAUCUGGUGAUUCCCAAACAUCAGAAUGAAUCAAGUCUAGAAUGCAUUUACUUCUAGCAAUAGAUCUACUGAAUUUUAAUCUAUGCUGCUUACUUGUAACACAAUGCUCGCAAAAUGGUAAACUUACCGAUUUGAGCCCCGGAAGCAAUUUUCGCUCAGAGAGAAUCUUCAAACCUUGUUCCGACAUGUGGCCAAGUUUGAGAUGCCACAUCAUCGUUGACUCUUCUCCAUUUGAUGCGACACACACAUCAGCCUGCUACCAACAUGUCAUCCACAUACAACAGCAAAAUAAUGAAAUCAUUAUUUUCAAACCUCUUGUAAUAUGCACAAUGGUCUGAACUGAGUCUGUUGUAUCCAAGGCUCAUAAUGAAUGAAUCAAAUCUCUUAUACCAACACCUCGGCGCCUGUUUGAGACCGUAUAGAGAUUUGUUCAACCUGCAAACCAAGUUCUCCUUUCCUGUUUCUGCAAAACCUUCUGGUUGGAGCAUAUAUAUUUCUUCUUCAAGUUCUCUAUGAAGAAAUGCAGUUUUCACAUCCAACUACUCAAGAUGUAAGUCAAAUGUAGCACACAUCGCCAAGACUACUCUGACUCUUGUGAGUCGAACCACCGGAGAAAAUAUCUCGUUGAAGUCAAUACAUUUUUUCUGAGCAUAUCCUUUCACCACCAAUCUUGCACGAUACCGCUCCACUUGGUAAUUGCCAUCACGCUUGAUCUUAUAGACCCAUUUGUUUCCAAUGGCUUUUCUUCCACGUGGUAGUGGUACAAGUUCUCAUGUCUUGUUCUUGUGUAGAGCUUCAAUUUCUUCAUGCAUUGCUGUCAUCCACAAAACAACAUCUGAGCUGUUUAAAGCUUCAUGGAAAAUUGAAGGCUCUUCAUCCUCUGUUAGAAGACAGUAUGCAACAUUGAUCUCUGUGACAUACUCCAAGUGCCACGCCGGCGGUCGUCUCUCACGAGUUGACCGACGAACUUCUGGAGCUUCAGACUCGACUGGUUCUUGUUCCUCGUGCUUUGGUGCUGCUUCAUAAGAAUCUGAAUCUUCUAGAUUAUUUUCCACAUAUACUGGCACAGUCUCUGACUUUUCUUUUGCAGUGCCAUCAUUCUCAUCUCUCCUUUGCAGUUGAUCUUCUAUAAAAAUAACAUCUCUGCUGAUGACGAUUUUGUGGGCAAUGGGGUCCCACAGACGAUACCCCUUUACUCCAUCAGCAUACCCCAAGAAGAUACAUCUUCUAGAUUUUGGAUCCAGCUUUAUUCUUUCUUGGACAUUGUACAUCACAUACACAGGACAUCCAAAUGCAUGUAGGUAAGAAUAAUCAGCUGGCUUUCCAGUCCACAUCUCCAUCGCUGUCUUCAACCCAAUAGCUGUAGAUGGCGAUUUUGUUGAGGAGUGUAUGCCACCGUGAACUGCCUCUGAAUACCUUCUUGCUUACAGAAAGCAAGAAACUCGCCGUCUGUAUACUCUCCACCAUUAUAUGUCCUCAAGUACUUGAUCUUUUUACCAGAUUCAAGUUCCACCCGUGCUCUGUAUUCUUUAAACACAGAAAAUACAUCUGACUUUUUCUUAAUUGGAUACACCCAACAUCUUCUGGAAUAAUCAUCAAUGAAAGUCACCAUGUACUUUGCACCUCCCAUGGAUAUAUCUGGUGAUUCCCAAACAUCAGAAUGAAUCAAGUCUAGAAUGCAUUUACUUCUAGCAAUAGAUCUACUGAAUUUUAAUCUAUGCUGCUUACUUGUAACACAAUGCUCGCAAAAUGGUAAACUUACCGAUUUGAGCCCCGGAAGCAAUUUUCAUUCAGAGAGAAUCUUCAAGCCUUGUUCUGACAUGUGGCCAAGUUUUAGAUGCCACAUUAUCAUAUUAAAAAAUAUAAAAUCCGGGUACCCGGAUUAAAACCCGACCCGGACCCGGACCCGGACCGGUUGCAUCUACUUCCGGGCAGGGUCCGGUCAUGGCAAUACCCGGACCCGGCCCGGGGUUUUGCCAUCUCUANNNNNNNNNNNNNNNNNNNNNNNNNNNNNNNNNNNNNNNNNNNNNNNNNNNNNNNNNNNNNNNNNNNNNNNNNNNNNNNNNNNNNNNNNNNNNNNNNNNNNNNNNNNNNNNNNNNNNNNNNNNNNNNNNNNNNNNNNNNNNNNNNNNNNNNNNNNNNNNNNNNNNNNNNNNNNNNNNNNNNNNNNNNNNNNNNNNNNNNNNNNNNNNNNNNNNNNNNNNNNNNNNNNNNNNNNNNNNNNNNNNNNNNNNNNNNNNNNNNNNNNNNNNNNNNNNNNNNNNNNNNNNNNNNNNNNNNNNNNNNNNNNNNNNNNNNNNNNNNNNNNNNNNNNNNNNNNNNNNNNNNNNNNNNNNNNNNNNNNNNNNNNNNNNNNNNNNNNNNNNNNNNNNNNNNNNNNNNNNNNNNNNNNNNNNNNNNNNNNNNNNNNNNNNNNNNNNNNNNNNNNNNNNNNNNNNNNNNNNNNNNNNNNNNNNNNNNNNNNNNNNNNNNNNNNNNNNNNNNNNNNNNNNNNNNNNNNNNNNNNNNNNNNNNNNNNNNNNNNNNNNNNNNNNNNNNNNNNNNNNNNNNNNNNNNNNNNNNNNNNNNNNNNNNNNNNNNNNNNNNNNNNNNNNNNNNNNNNNNNNNNNNNNNNNNNNNNNNNNNNNNNNNNNNNNNNNNNNNNNNNNNNNNNNNNNNNNNNNNNNNNNNNNNNNNNNNNNNNNNNNNNNNNNNNNNNNNNNNNNNNNNNNNNNNNNNNNNNNNNNNNNNNNNNNNNNNNNNNNNNNNNNNNNNNNNNNNNNNNNNNNNNNNNNNNNNNNNNNNNNNNNNNNNNNNNNNNNNNNNNNNNNNNNNNNNNNNNNNNNNNNNNNNNNNNNNNNNNNNNNNNNNNNNNNNNNNNNNNNNNNNNNNNNNNNNNNNNNNNNNNNNNNNNNNNNNNNNNNNNNNNNNNNNNNNNNNNNNNNNNNNNNNNNNNNNNNNNNNNNNNNNNNNNNNNNNNNNNNNNNNNNNNNNNNNNNNNNNNNNNNNNNNNNNNNNNNNNNNNNNNNNNNNNNNNNNNNNNNNNNNNNNNNNNNNNNNNNNNNNNNNNNNNNNNNNNNNNNNNNNNNNNNNNNNNNNNNNNNNNNNNNNNNNNNNNNNNNNNNNNNNNNNNNNNNNNNNNNNNNNNNNNNNNNNNNNNNNNNNNNNNNNNNNNNNNNNNNNNNNNNNNNNNNNNNNNNNNNNNNNNNNNNNNNNNNNNNNNNNNNNNNNNNNNNNNNNNNNNNNNNNNNNNNNNNNNNNNNNNNNNNNNNNNNNNNNNNNNNNNNNNNNNNNNNNNNNNNNNNNNNNNNNNNNNNNNNNNNNNNNNNNNNNNNNNNNNNNNNNNNNNNNNNNNNNNNNNNNNNNNNNNNNNNNNNNNNNNNNNNNNNNNNNNNNNNNNNNNNNNNNNNNNNNNNNNNNNNNNNNNNNNNNNNNNNNNNNNNNNNNNNNNNNNNNNNNNNNNNNNNNNNNNNNNNNNNNNNNNNNNNNNNNNNNNNNNNNNNNNNNNNNNNNNNNNNNNNNNNNNNNNNNNNNNNNNNNNNNNNNNNNNNNNNNNNNNNNNNNNNNNNNNNNNNNNNNNNNNNNNNNNNNNNNNNNNNNNNNNNNNNNNNNNNNNNNNNNNNNNNNNNNNNNNNNNNNNNNNNNNNNNNNNNNNNNNNNNNNNNNNNNNNNNNNNNNNNNNNNNNNNNNNNNNNNNNNNNNNNNNNNNNNNNNNNNNNNNNNNNNNNNNNNNNNNNNNNNNNNNNNNNNNNNNNNNNNNNNNNNNNNNNNNNNNNNNNNNNNNNNNNNNNNNNNNNNNNNNNNNNNNNNNNNNNNNNNNNNNNNNNNNNNNNNNNNNNNNNNNNNNNNNNNNNNNNNNNNNNNNNNNNNNNNNNNNNNNNNNNNNNNNNNNNNNNNNNNNNNNNNNNNNNNNNNNNNNNNNNNNNNNNNNNNNNNNNNNNNNNNNNNNNNNNNNNNNNNNNNNNNNNNNNNNNNNNNNNNNNNNNNNNNNNNNNNNNNNNNNNNNNNNNNNNNNNNNNNNNNNNNNNNNNNNNNNNNNNNNNNNNNNNNNNNNNNNNNNNNNNNNNNNNNNNNNNNNNNNNNNNNNNNNNNNNNNNNNNNNNNNNNNNNNNNNNNNNNNNNNNNNNNNNNNNNNNNNNNNNNNNNNNNNNNNNNNNNNNNNNNNNNNNNNNNNNNNNNNNNNNNNNNNNNNNNNNNNNNNNNNNNNNNNNNNNNNNNNNNNNNNNNNNNNNNNNNNNNNNNNNNNNNNNNNNNNNNNNNNNNNNNNNNNNNNNNNNNNNNNNNNNNNNNNNNNNNNNNNNNNNNNNNNNNNNNNNNNNNNNNNNNNNNNNNNNNNNNNNNNNNNNNNNNNNNNNNNNNNNNNNNNNNNNNNUGGAUCUAUCUUAAUAUCUAAAUCCAUAUCCAUAUCCACUCAUCUUUUUAUUCUAUUUUAUUUUAAAAGUUUCUUAAUAAUUAUGGAAUUAUAAUGAUAAUAAAUUUUAUUCAUAGCAUAUUAGUAGUAUUUACCAUGUAUUUAAACUCUUAAAACUUAAAGGUUAGUUUUGUAAAUUUAAAGGUCAGCCAGCCCCAAAGUAUGUACAUGCAAUAUUCAAAUUGCAAUCCAAGUAAUAUAACUUGGUAAUUUAUUUUAUUAUAUUGGCCAAAUAAUUUUUAAGGAAUAUAGUUAUUCAUAUAUUUAGUCAAAUAUGGUCAUAAUAAAAAUAAUAAAGGACUGAAUAUAAAUCAUAUUUAAUUUAUAUGUCAUUAUCUAAUGUUGUAGGAAUGAUGGUAGGUGUAUCGUGGAUAUUAGAAUGAUGAAGGAGACAACAGAAUAUUAUAUUGAUCUUACUCCUGCAAUUACUUCUGAAUGAUAUUUUAUUAUCUUUCUUAUUUGUUGUUUUGGUGUAAAAGUAUAAGAUACAAUAUUUAUUAUAUUUUUGAGAAAAAUUAUAUAAUUUAUUUGUUAUCAAUACAUUUUAGCCUUCAAUUUUCAAUCUAAAAAAUUAUUACUUUUUUAUUACUGAAUUUUAGAAUUCAUGACGGAUUUAGAGCAGAUUUGGAUUUUAAUUUUUUUCGGAUUUGGAGCAGAUAUAGAUAUUCAUUUCUUUUUUGGAUUUGGAUAUGGAGCGAAAAAUAUGGAUUCAUGACGGAUCUGGAGCAAAUACAUAUCUUAAUUUUUAUUAUGGAUUUGGAUCUGGAGCAGAGUAGAUCCAACCCAUAUCUGCCCCAUUGCCAUCCCUACGGUGCAGCCAUGGACGCCUUCUUUUGAUUUCAAUACAACGAAUAUGGAUCAAGUUAAAGUAUGGAUCCGUUUACCUGGACUCGCUGUUCAUCUAUAUGACUAGAAAGUUCUUCAGAAGCUUGGACAGUUGGUGGGUACAGUGAUUAAAAUUGAUUCUAACACAGCAUCCUCUGCGCGUGGAAGGUUUUCCCGAAUUACAGUUAGCCUCUCCCUGGCUAAGCCUUUAGUUUCUCAGUUUGUGUUGGAUGGGAAGGAUCAAAAGGUAGAGUAUGAGGGGUUGCUAGUGAUUUUUUUCACAUGUGGAAGAUACGGCCAUAGUAGUAACAAUUGCAAGGACUCGCGUUCAGCGAACAAUUCUGGAGAGGGUGCCCAACCUCAACCUAAUAUGCAGCGUCAGGAGAUCCCUAUCCAACUAGAUGAACACUGUAAUGAUGCUAGUAUUGCCGAGCCUUUUGGACCAUAGAUGAUAGCCACGAGAAAAGGCAGAAAAUUUAAUAGUAGCAAGGACAAUAACAAUGGCUUUAAUGGAACCGUGAGAAUAUAGGGGCUGGUUUUUCCAGAUUCCAAAUAUUAGAUCAGGUCACAGACGAUCGUGAGAACCCCAACCAUGCAGUUAUGAAAGAUAACCCCUCCACUUCUCAUCAACCAAUCAUGGCCAACAUUCACCUGAUAUUCACUGCCAACCAUGAAGCUAGAACAAAAACUCCAGCUCGACGCAAGCAACACACCACAACUGUUACUACAAAAUCCUAGAGGAAGAUGCCAGCUAAUUCUAUGAACCCAACCCGAAACCCUUUCCAGCAGAGUGCUUUCACGAUAAGAGAGGAAAACAUAAACUCUUCACCUCAUGCAAACCCUCAGCCCACAUCAUGUUUUAACCCUCAGUUCAAUCCCAGUCAUCAGUAAAUCUCCCUUCUUGCUACAACGUUGGACCCAAAAAAGCAUACGGUGGUCUUUUGUGCUACCCAAAACUUUCCUUCUGGGGAUAUAGGGGAGGCGGUCAGUGAGCAUAGCGAUCGGCUGGGGCCGGACUCUAAACACUUGUCUGACCCUCCAGACGCUCAUAAUGCUUCUCGGGUAAAUGACGGAAAUGCUGCUGUACGGCCAAGAUAUAUCCGGUGAUUCCCAAACAUCAGAAUGAAUCAAGUCUAGAAUGCAUUUACUUCUAGCAAUAGAUCUACUGAAUUUUAAUCUAUGCUGCUUACUUGUAACACAAUGCUCGCAAAAUGGUAAACUUACCGAUUUGAGCCCCGGAAGCAAUUUUCAUUCAGAGAGAAUCUUCAAGCCUUGUUCUGACAUGUGGCCAAGUUUUAGAUGCCACAUUAUCAUUGAUUCUUCUCCAUUUGACACGACACACGCAUCAGCCUCCUAUAGUGUUUCUCCUCUAAGCAUGAAUAGAUUAGUAUCGAUCUUUUCUGCCUUCAUCAAUACAAGCGCGCCUUUAACGAUCUUCAUAAUUCCAUUCUCCACAUGAGUUUUGUACCCAUGACUAUCCAUUUGUCCCAAAGACAAUAGAUUUUUCUUCAAACCGUUGACAUGUCGUACCUCCCCAAUUGUGCGAAUUGUACCAUCAAACAUUUUCAUUUUGAUAGUACCAAUACUAGCGAUCUCCAAGGCAUGAUCAUUACCCAUAUAUACAAAUCCUCCUUAGAUAGGUUCAUAUGUGUGGAACCAUUCUCUCCGAGAGGUCAUGUGCCAGGUAGCUCCUGAGUCUAUAAGCCAGACAUCAGACAGUCAUUUUCUGCCUUCUGAAACAGUUAUUGCCUCAAUGUAGAGUAUUUCGUCAUCAUCCGAGGUACUUGCUACACAACCCUGAGCAUUUGAUGACUCAGGUUCUUUGCCCUCUCUUUUCUUCUGGUUACUCCAACACUCUUUCUUGACGUGCCCUUUCUUGCCACAGUUGUAGCAUUUAAUAUUCUUCUUACUUCUGGAUUUGAUCUACCAUGAUUUUGACUCCCACUGGGGCUAUGUUCCGUUGAUCUCCCUCUCGUCACCGGUAGCGCUUCUGCUUACUGCGAACUUACUUGUCUGUUUUCCUUAUUUUUUUCGCCUGCUCUCCUCAUUUAAUACGGAGGCUGCAACAUCGUCGAAAACUAGACCCUCCACUGGAUUGUUGUUCGUCAGGUUGAUGAUGAGUUGAUCAUACGAAUCUGGUAGACUUUGAAGUAGAAGCUCUGCACGUUUAUUUUCCUCUAUAUUAUGACCCAACAUUGUGAGUUGUGAAAAUAGAGUCUUCAAUGUGUUGAUAUGGUCGGUCACCAUUGUAGAUUCCACCAUUCAAAGAGUAUAGAGUUUUCUCUUUAAGAAGAUUUUGUUGUGUAGUGAUUUGGCCUCGUACAAUUUUGUGAGAGUAUUCCAUAUUUUCUUCGCUGUAUUUUUCUCUAUAUUUCCUUCGCUGUGUUUUUCUCUGCCACACUGGAUAAUACUCCGUCUGCAAGUGCCAAGUGUAGAUCAGAAAUGGCGUUGCCAUCUAUCUCGUUCCACUUGUCAUCAGUUAUCUCCAUGGGCCUUUCUCCAAUUGCUGCCAGGCAAUUAUUUUUCCUCAAUACAGCUUAUCUUCAUUUUCCACAACGAAAAAUUAUUUCCGUUAAAUUUCUCAAUUUCAUACUUUGCCGUCAUUUUGUUGAUAAAUACUGCACACAAGCUAGUAUACCACCUUGAAUAGUUGUGAGUAUGUGUGAGAAUGCACACCAGGAAAGUUCCCAGGAAAGAUUGGAGGGGUCACAAUUGUCCUACUUAAAACCCAGACUCCUUAAGCUCUUAUCGCCUUUGUGACAUAACUUUCCUAGACAUGUACAAAACCACACAGUUGCUUUACUCACACCACUAUUCCCUGCUUUGCACCGCAAAAUUCUUGGAUUGCUUCCACCGUUUCACGUGAAUAGUACCGUAUACGUGAAUAGUACCGUAUACGUGAAUAGUAUCAUCUAUGUAAACAAAUAUACGUGAAUAGUGUCGUACGCCGUAUACGUGAAUAGUGCCGUACGCCGUAUACGUGAAUAGUGUCGUAUGCCGUAUAUGUGAAUAGUGCCGUACGCCGUAUACGUGAAUACGUGAACAAUUCCUGACUCUCCACGGGCGAAGACAGAAGGAAAUAUUUUACUAGUGAAAAAGAGUUACAAGUAUUGUAGUAUCUUAGCUCACUUCCCAAAACCCCAAUACACCCAAACUCUCUAACUCAAUAGACACUCAAGAGUUUAUUAAACUCUUAAAACUCUCAACACUCAAGAAAGCAAUACUUCUCUCUCGAUGGAAUUGAAUGCAAAUGAAUUAGGGAGCUCUUCCUUUUAUAGCUAAAAAAUGGCUAUUAAAUUAAUAUAUAUAUGUAUAUAUUUCAAAUGUAGUUACCAACUUCUUCUUUUUCUCCAUUUGGAUGGCACCAUUUUCUUUGCCCGGCUGCACCAUUUUCUUCUUUCAAAUGUCAAACCCUUCUAGAUGCAGUCAUGUCGAACACUUCUAGAUGCAGUCAUGCCAAACACUUCUAGAUGCAGCCAACUUUGACACUAAAGACGUUAGGCUUCUUAUCAGCGCCGCCAGCAGGGGUGGCAUGUUUUCCGUUCUUUUUGCUGGCUAUAGCAACGAUGAUGGUGGGACACCUCGGAAAACUUUCACUUGCGAGUAUUGACAUUGCUAACUCCUUAAGGGUGCGUUUGGGACAGUUAUAUAUUAAAAGUUACAGAAUUAAAGUGUUUGGUAAAUACUCAUCAUUGUAACUUAUAAAUUAUAUUGAUAUGAUUUGUUACUUGUAUAAUAAAAAAUAUAUUAUAUUAAAAAAAUUAUUAUUUAAAAUUUAUAUUUACUACGUAUUAUUAUUUGUAUUUAAUAGUUACAACUUUUUUAUCACAACAGGCUACAACACUUCAAUCCCAAACAGGACCUAAUUAACGUCAUCGGCUUCACUCCACUUGUAAUAUUUUCUUCAUUCCCUUUUCUUUUUACCAUUGGAGAACAGCUUUGCUUCUUCUUUGUUUCACAUCAAAGCAGGCUUCGUUUAUUUUAUCUAAUGACACUGCUUUGUAUGCCUUUUGUUUUGUAGCAAGUUAACAAUUUGCUUGUGCUCGCUAUAAAAUUGUUUAAAUGACUCAAUAUAAUCCACACAGCAAUAAUAUAACAAUAGCUAUUUUUAAAUCCAGGUCAACGACAAGCAACCACAACUGUAUGAUUAACCAAGUUAAAUCAAGCUCGUUUAGCAAUCAACUCUAGAACUUUAGCUCGACUUUCAUAGGUGAGAAUACCAGACAGGUCUAUUCUGACUAGGAUAAGAUCAACAAAUUAAUAAUAAACUUUGAUUAAUUAUUGGCGAAGAAUUAAUCAAUUGCUACUUGGAAGAUAUUAAGAAACUUUGUUCACCUUUUCUGUCGCUAGACCAAAUAAUUUAUGAAGUAUUUUUGAGCUCUUUUUUUUUUUUUUAAAUAAUCAGAAAGGUAGUGCUUUUUGAGCUUGAACAAGCAUUAUUAUAACUGAUCUUAUUUUACUCCAUAUUGUCCAUGCUACCGCUGUUUACAUAAAACGGAUUUUGGGAGAAUAGCAUAUAUUUCAUCAAUAAUCAGUCGAUACUUUAUAAGAUUAGCCGACAAAAUGAUAUCUAAUGUGGACAAUACCAUUAAAUUUUGAGCAGUUUGGUUUUGCCUCUGCAUUAGAGAUUGGAAACUAUACUUGCCCUGCUAUGUUCUUUUGCAUUGCAAUUCGUAUCCCCAUCUCUGUUCUUUGGAUAUUCAUGGACAAAGUACUAAUACUGCUAGGCCAAGACCCUGAUAUUUCUGUCGAAGCCUGCAAUUAGGCAAUUUGGCUCAUACCGGCAUUAUUUGGCUAUGCUAUUCUUCGAUCACUAUCUCACAAUCUCCAGGCUCAGAGCUUGAUUCUGGCACUGUACUUAAGCUCAUGUGCAACUCUUUGUUUGCAAAUUCUUCUUUGUUGGGGUCUAGUAUCUAAAACAGACUUUGGAAAUACAGGAGCAGAAUUAUCCAUAGGUAUUUCUUAUUGGUUCAAUGUGAUCAUCCUUUCACUUUACAUGAGAUAGAACUCACACGUUGAUCACCAAGGAAAUUUUUCCCAGAAUGAAGGAGUUUUCCUCCUUUGCACUCCCCUCAGUUGUAAUGCGUUGGUAAUUUGCCAAUCGUACUUUGCAAUGUUUUUGUUACUUUUCUGUUCUUACACAUUGACUUGCAGUGUGCCUUUUGUUUCCAAUAACUUAAGUCUCGAAUGGUGGUCAUAUGAGGUUCUGGUACUGCUGUCUGGAAUAUUACCAAAUCCAAAACUUAAAACAUCAGUUCUUACAAUAUGGUACGUUUCUACACUUAUGGUUUUCGCUUGUUGAGUAAAUGGGGGAAAUUCUCCAUAGGGUUGAAUUGAUUUCCUUUGAUCUUCAUAUGCAGCUUUACACUCCAGUGAACACACCAUUUUAUAUCAUUUGGUAUUAGUGCUGCCGCAAGGUUUGAUCUAUAUAUUGUUUCAAAAGCAUGCACUUACGAGUAAAUGAAACAAUUCAUUGCCUACUAGUUAAAACCACCCUGAAUAAUUCUGUGUACUGAGCUGUAUCGCAGUCCACCGUUUUGGCACUCGAGUGGCAAACGAAUUAGGAGCUGGAAAUUCACAACCAGCACGAUUGUCUAAAUGUGUCGUGAUAUUUCUUGGAGUUGCAGAGGCAGCCAUAGUGAGCAUAGCUCUAUUCUGCUGCCGCAAUGUUUUGGCAUAUUUGUUCAACACUGACAAGGACGUUGCGACUUAUGUGUCUGAAUUAGUUCCUCUGCUUAGCACUGCCGUUUCAUGGACAGCAUGCAAUCAGUACUUUCCGGUCAGAAUCCCAUCAUUCUGUCAGGACUUUUAUUUUCACUCUUUUCACUCAGCUAGUGCUUCAGAGCUUGAAAAAGAUUUGAUGAUUUAUUUCUCACCAAUCACUUUCAUUAUCACAAGUAGCUAGAGUAAUUGGGUGACAGCACAUAGGAGCUUAUGUAAAUCUCGGUGCAUUUUAUCUUGUUGGAAUUCCAGUAGCAUCUGUGCUAUGUUUUGUUCUUCAUCUUAGAACAAAAGGCAUUUUGCUCGGAUUAAUCAUUAAUGCCAGGCUCAACUGUCGCAAUUGCGCUCGCCAUCGUUACUUCUUUAACAAAUUGGGAAAAACAGGUUUCUAUUUCAUUUCACUCUUUUUUCAAAUUAUCUGCUUCUUCAGCAGUGAAUUAUCCUUUAAUUUUGCUGGCUGACAUUGAUCUUUCAUGUGGAUAUCUUUCCAGGCUACCUUGGCCAGAGAGAGAAUACUUAAGGGAGCAUCUUCAACUGAUAAUAGAUCGGUUCGAUGCAAAAUGUAAUUAAACAUUUUGUUUCCAUCGUAUCAAAAUUUCUUAGGAUGUGAGCUGCGAGUAUAUACUGUUACAAAACCAAGACCAAUUUUGGACAAUGCUAUUGUUGUGGCAAUUAAUUUAUCGAACACUUGGUGUGCAGAAGCAAACCCAAGAAUUUUAAGAGCAAACAAUGUCCAAAUCACCAAUACAAUCAAUUUUGUGAAAUUGAUUCACAAGGCUACGUCCUCGGAUAAUUCCUAGAUUUACCAUGAAAUUUUACAUUUAAAAGAAGCAUGAUAAACAUCAUUUAUUUUAAAAUUAUUGAUUCUCUCAUGAUUUGAAUUGUCGUAAGAGCAAUUCAUAGUGGUGAUGGUUAUUAAUAUAUAAAAAUGUAAUGAUAGUUUAGUUUAAUCCCAACCAUUAUUUGUGACAAACACUUGGCGCAAGAUCUUAGACUCUUAAAUCGAAACGAAUAAAUGUUUUAAACCUCGGUCGCAUUUAAACUUGUAUAAACUAAAAAUAGUCAAUUUCUAUUUUAAAUAAUCACAUUUAAGAUGGUUUAUGUGUUGAUCAAAUACUUGUUUAGGCUUUCAAACUAUAUAUGUUGAUCAAAUACACUGAGUAUGAGAUGUGGCUUGCAAAACAGCUAAGGCAAAAUAGUCCCCAAAUAAUUAAAACAGGUUAAUUUCCACAACUGACAAAUAGAAGUGUCGUACAUUUUUCUAAGAGCGUGUCUUAAACGUGCCGAUUAAACAUCCAAAAUGUCUUUGUUAUUAGUCGAUUACUACUAGCUAUUAUUGUUAUUAUUAUAACAGUUACCACGAAAACAUCGUCGAGAUAUUUCAUACAUCUCACCCCAUUUUCAUGCACAAAUAAAUUGAAAAAGAAAAAUCACUUAUGAAUGAUGAGAAUCGAGCCUCUUGCAACAUAUCUACAUGGUAUAUUUUAACCAGGCACUGAGUGUAGCGAGGGACUGAUGAAAAUAUUGUAGCAGAGCUACCAAACUUGAGUAAUAUGAAUUCAAAGUUGUUAGAUGACAUGGCAGCACACUUGGCAUUCAUUGGUGUUUUGGAAAGUUAAAGUGAUCAACCUUAUCUCUUAGCUUAUCAUUAAUUCAAGCUUUACUUUCGUAUUUAUCAAGAUCAAGGUAAAGAUAACAAUUGUGCUAGGCUUGAUCUUAUUCUUGGCAUGAUCGUGUUUCCUGUAGAGCACUAUAAUGUAAUGAUUAUGACUUAUGAGGUGAAUAAAAAAUAACAAAAAGGUGCUUUGUUUCUUCUUCAAGCCCAUCUUUAUAAUUUAAGUGGGACAACAUGCGAUGGCCAGCCUCUUGCAACAUACCUAAACUUCAGUAUGAUUGGUAAUCAACAAAAGUACUAGUCAAUCUUGACUUCAAACUCAAGGGAAGCAUCUUUAUCCGAAUUAAAGAGAUCCAGUCUAUCAUUUAUUGUUGUAUUAUUAGCAUACAAUUAUUACCAGAGAAUACAAGCAUAUGGAGGUUCUGCCCGAGGCUGAGAAAGAAGAAGAGAAGAAGAAAUUGGCGGUAACACGGCGAGCGUUUGUGCAAGAGCUGAAGAAGGUGAGCUUCUUGGCAGCGCCUCUUGCCGGGGUAACUGUUUUUCAGUUGCUUUUGGCGGCUGUAUCAACGAUGAUGGUGGGACACCUUGGAAAACUUUCGCUUGCUAGCAUUACCAUCGCCACCUCUCUCACCAAUGUCACUGGCUUCACUCCACUCGUAAUUUGUUUUUCUUAAUUUUUACCAUUAAAAUGCCCUUCUAUCUACGGCUUUACUUUUGAUUCUCUUUUCCUUUCUUUACUUUUGCUUGACUUUCAUGGGUGAUCAUAGCAAUCAACUUGAUAAAAUAGUAAGGGUAUAACAAAGGUUUUUCAUCAAACAAACAGUUUUAUAUACGUAUUUAGCUUAAAAGCUAUAGCUGCUAGGAAGCAAUACCAAAAGGAGUCUGAAUAAUUCGCUAUACCAUUUCACUCACCAGAGCAAAUAAUAUUUUCAUGUUCUGCUUGAGUUUGAACAAGAAUUAUAUUCUAACUAACCAUUUUGGUGUGCUACUGUACUUAACCAGAUUUGCGAGAAUUGCUUAUAUAUUUCUUCAUUAUUUCAAUCUGUUAAGAUUAGCCUGCAACAUGAUAUCUUAGUAUUUGUGUUUCUGAAGGCUUGUCAAAUACAUGUAUAAUGUUGACGUUUACUUUAAAUUUUGAGCAGUUUGGUUUUGCCUGUGCAUUAGAGACUCUAUGUGGACAAGCUUAUGGCGCAGAACAAUAUCAAAAGAUUGGGACGUAUACUUACUCUGCUAUGUUCUUUUGCAUUGCAAUAUGUCUCCCAAUCUCUGUUCUUUGGAUAUUCAUGGACAAAAUAUUAAUGCUGCUACACCAAAACCCUCAGAUUUCUGUUGAAGCCCGCAAUUAUGCAAUCUGGCUUAUACCAGCAUUAUUCGGCUAUGCGAUUCUUCGAUCACUGUGUCACAAUCUCCAGGCUCAGAGCUUGAUUCUAACAUUGUUCUUAAGCUCAUGUGCAACUCUAUGUUUGCAUAUUCUUCUUUGUUGGGUUCUAGUGUUUAAAGCCGACUUUGGAAAUACAGGAGCAGCAUUAUCCAUUAGUAUAUCUUAUUGGUUCAAUGUGAUCAUCCUUGCUCUUUACAUGAGACACUCUCCAUCGUGUACAAAAACUCGCACUUUGAUCUCCAAGGAAAUUUUGCCUUGCAUGAAGGAGUUUACCUCCUUCGCUCUCCCCUCGGUUUUCAUGUUUUGGUAUAAUUUGUCAAUCUCACUUUGCAAUGUUAUUGUUAGUUUCUGUUAUUAUUGGUUUACUUACAGUGUGCUGUUUUGUUCCCAAUAAUUAUAGUCUUGAAUGGUGGUUCUAUGAGAUUCUGAUAUUACUGUCGGGACUUUUACCGAACCCCAAACUUGAAACAUCAGUUAUAUCUAUAUGGUACACUUCUGAUAUCACUUGUGGUUUGCUUUUGGUGAAUUUAUUGGGGAAACUCUCAAUAGGGUUGAAUUGAUUUUCUUUGAUCUCCAUAUGCAGCUUUACAAUCCAGGCAACACACUAUUUUAUACCAUUUGGAAUUGGUGCUGCCGCAAGGUUUGAUCUAUAUCCUAUUUCAAAAGCGGGUUGUAACUGGCAAUUGCAUUAUUUCUGAGUACUGAGAUUUUCUGUAGCAUUCGAGUGUCAAAUGAAUUAGGAGCUGGAAAUCCACAGCCAGCUCGGUUGGCUACCCGUGUUGCGGUGGCUCUUGCUGUCGCAGAGGCAGCAAUAGUGAGCAUAGCUCUAUUCUGUAGCCGAUAUGUCCUGGCAUAUGCAUUCAACAGUGACCAGGAUGUCGUGAAAUAUGUGUCUAGAUUGGCUCCUCUGCUUAGUAUUGCCAUAUUCAUGGACAACAUGCAAUCGGUACUUUCCGGUGAGAAUCCCAACAUUCUAUCAGGAUUUAUUUGCACUCAUCUAAUGCUUAAAUAGCAGUGAACAUGCAGCUAACAAUUUGAUAUUCGCGAAUUUACCUUUCUCGUCAGGGGUAGCUAGAGGAAUUGGGUGGCAGCACAUAGGGGCUUAUAUAAAUCUUGGUGCAUUUUAUCUCGUUGGAAUCCCGGUAGCGUAUGUGCUGUGUUUUGCUGUUCAUCUCCGAACAAAAGGCCUUUUGCUUGGAUUAAUGUCAGGCUCAACCGUACAAGCAGUUGCGCUUGCCGUCGUUACUUCAUUAACCAAUUGGCAAAAACAGGUUUCUGUAAUUCAUUUUUACUUUUGUUCCAAGUGUUUGUUUCUUUGACAAUAUAUUAAUCAUCCUCUAAUCUGUUGGCUGACACUGAAUUUUUCUUAAUUUCAUGUGGAUAUUUUUCCAGGCAACCAUGGUCAGGGAAAGAACAUUGGAGGGAGCACCUUCUACUGAAAAUCCAUCGGUUUGAUCCACCUGGGCUAGUAAUUAAUUACCCUGUUUUGUUUUUCAUCGUAACAAAUUACAUUCUCGAGACGAAUAACUUAGAAAUAACUCCUAAUAAUAAUAAUAAUAAUCAGGUGGAUCAUAGUACGCCACUACGCCUUAUAAUUCGUAAUAAAAGUAUACUGCUGAAACAUAAAUUAAAAAAAAAAAAAAAAAAAAAACUUAUAAUUCGUAAUAAAAGUAUACUGCUGAAACAUAAAAAAAAAAAAAAAAAAAAAAAAACACUCGAUGAGAUAACAAUACAAAGAAACAGCUAAACCAAUUAUUUAGAAAACCAUAUUUGCAUACCACAAACUAAUUUAAAGAUAACGUACGAUAUAACAGCAGUAGCAGAAAUAAGGUUGAUACAAUAAUUAAUGAAGCUCUGCGCUACACCAAUUAGUGGUACCAUACCAUGCAUGAUCCAUCACACAGAGGAAAAAGAAAAAAAAAAGAUUUUAUUUAGCUUACUAUAUACGUAUUGCCAGCAGCGUGCAUGCUAGUACGGGGGAGGGGGAGGAUGAGGAGGGCGGUUCCAAGGCGGCGUUGGCCUGUAGGGAUCAUAGUUAUAAGGAGGUGCGGGACCGGGGGGCCCCGGAGGCGCUGCAAAAGGAGGGGGUGGAGAGUGAUGGUGAUGGUACCGAGGAGGUGGUGGAGGAGGCGGAUGGAACAAUUCGGGGCGUGGUGGCGGUGGUGGUGGAGGUGAAGGACCGUAAACGUGAGGUGGCGGCGGUGGGUGAGGAGCAUAUGGGUCUGCUGCCGCUGGUGGUGGUGGUGGUGGAGGACCUGGACCUGGACGGUGGUGUCUAUGAAAUGCCAUGUUUUUGAAAGUUAGGUGAUCAAUACAAAGUGGUGUGCUGUUGUUUUUGUUUUAAGGGAUUUGGAGUUGUUUGUAUGUACACUAGAAAAAUGUAUUUCCUUUGACGGUUC